Molecule: long non-coding RNA, 47848 nt
Filed under: Jatropha curcas
Lineage: Eukaryota; Viridiplantae; Streptophyta; Magnoliopsida; Malpighiales; Euphorbiaceae
Description: long non-coding RNA (JCUR_LNC003284)
Source: RNAcentral
GAGGAGGAGGAAGUACAAUUUUGAUAUGGUACCAUGAUGCACAUUAGUCAUUUAAAUAAAUCUUAAGAAGGGAGAUUAUAAUCAACAAAUUAAUAUAACUUCAUUUCAUGCGGAAAUAUUACAUUGAUACAUAAUUUAUAGUAUUGUUUUUAACUAUCAAUUAGGAUUUUUAGUGAAUUGUUGUAUUAAUAUUUUGACCUUCCCUAUUUUAGGGCCCUAAAACUGAAUUGAGGGAUUUAAUUUUCUAGUUCUACAUCCAAAAAGAUAAAUUUAACAAUGGAAACAAAGAAAUUGCCUUGAUUUACACAACAAGGAAUUGAAGUUUUGGGCAAACAAAGAUAUUAAAUGGUAAUUACUCAUCUUGUCCCAAAAUAUAAAUCGUUUAAAAUUUUUUCACAAGAAUUAAGAAAUCAAUUAAUUUUCCUAAAUUAUAAUAAAAUUAAGUGUAAAUUGAUCAAAUUAUCAUUUAUCGCAAAACUAAUAGCUACUUAUUGAAGUGUUUAUUGUAUCUAAUGUAAAUAUGAGUAACAUUGAAAAAAUAUCAUUUAUUACUCCUUAAAAUACCCAGAACAAUUUAUAUUUUGGGACAAUAAUCACUCAAAAAUGACUUAUAUUUUGAGAUAGAAUGAGUAAUUUAGUUUACAUUGUUAAUUAGACAUAUUCCUAACAACAAAAUAAGAUUAAUCAAAUAAAUACACAAAAUGUCAUAAUCCUAAUUAGUGAUAAUCUAAGUCCAAGAAAAAAAAAAUCACAAUUAACAAGGUUAUUGUUUUGGACAUGAAAAGGGUCAAAGGCUAUCAAUUUGAUGAAAGCGAAAUUAUUUUUGUACCUCAAUAGACAAUAAUCUCUCCAUUGAAUCAAAUUUUGUGGGCCUCUUCUCAUUAUGUUUUUAAGGUUCAAUGUCUCUAUCUCACGGUCUAAGUACUAAUAUCCAAAUAAAUACACUUAAUUUGAACAAUUGAUUGUUACUAUUACACAUUAAUGUGUUAGAUAAAAAUGGACAAGGGAAUAUUACCUUAUUAUUUUUGAAUAAUUAUAGGCAAAAUGAUUAAAUAAAUUAAUUAAAAAAUAUUUUAAUAGUAAUUAUUUUGAUAAGAUUAAUAUAGUCUAAACAAUAUAAGUACAAAUCAUUUACUAGUAGAUAAUUAGUAGAAGUUUUGGAAUACGCCUAAUCGACUAUGCAACUAUUGAAAAAUUAAACGAUAAAAAUGACACUUAAAAUUGAGAUUCUUUCCUAAUAAUUUUGGUCUUUCUAUUAUUGAUAUUUGUAAUAUCAGAUAAUAUGAUUUUUAUUGUUAUACAAAUUAAUAUUUAAAUAUGUUUUAUGUUAUAAAUUGAAAUUUAAGAAUGUUAUUAUACACUAUAUUAUGCGUUUAUAUUAUAAAUUUAGAGACAAAAAAUUGAAACUAAGAAAAAUAAAUAUGACUUAGAGCGGAAUAAAAUUAACUAUGGUUAUACAUGGGAUGAUUUUCGAGUUUUUCUCAUAAUGAAAAAUUUGAGACGGUUUUUGAGAAAUAGAGUCGACAUUCCCGCAGUCUCGUGCACGCCCCUAAAUCCUAGGAUAAUUAAUCCAUUAUCAUCUUGUUGCGUUUUUAAUAAGAAAAUUUUUUUACAGAGUUAGGUUAUCAAACCUUUAAUGUUUAGUGAAAGUUUUGAACAAUUACUCCAAAUAAAUAAAUAAAUAAAAAUUUACAAUUCAUUUUGGGAUGGUUCGUGGUAAAUGCCGGUGUAAAACACGCACUAACUCAGGAGAAUACAAGGACUAUACCAGCGUGUUAAGUAAUUCGUCAGAGGUGUAAGUUGUCAGCAUAUAUAUUGGUUAUGAUUGGACCGUGAUCUGCACGCUCGUUAACCGAAGUGCAUUUAACUUUGGGAAAAUAUCCAAGGAAUAUCCAGUAUUUUGAAGAGACGAAAAGACUGGCUUAGCCACGUCAGAAGACAGACAGGCACUCGAUAAUCAUUCCGCGCUUUCCGCAUUUGGAUUGUAGUGGCAAUUCUGUAAUAAAUCUCCAGAAAUAAGAGUAAUCUGUGAAUUCAAAACCAAACGGAUAAGGACAAUAUAGGAAUUUAAUCCAUUUACUUUAUUUCUUGUUUUUCUUUUUGCCAUUUCUGUUGUAUAUACAUAUUUGACAUUUUUUGAUUCUUUUUAAAUGAUACAAAUUGACCGUCAAGUUUCAACAUAAGAUUAAAUUGUGUUCCAAUUAAAUUUUUUUUUAUAAUUUUUCUUUAUUGAUUUUUAUAAAUCAUUUAAAAGAUUUUUUUAUUUCCGAUUCUAAAAAAAUGUAUCUUCAUUUUUUUAUAAUAUUUCUUUAUUGAUUUUUAUAAAUCAUUUAAAAGAUUUCUUUUUAUUUCUAAUUCUAAAAAAAUGUAUUUUAUUGUAAUAUUAAAAAUCAUUUAAUAAUUAUAAGAUUUAUGCAUUAAACAAACGGUGAAUAUAAUAUGAGACUUGAUUUGAUUCAAAUAAAAUCAAAAUUAAGAUACGCUUAUUCAAUUCUAAUUUUAUUUUUUACAAAUUGAUUAUCGAUUUCUUUUUGUUUUGGUAAGAAAAAAGUUAAGAAAUACUGAAAAUAAACAUAUGCAAUGCCACAUAAAAUCAUGCGUCGUAAUAGAUAAAAGGCUAGUUGGAGUUCUAUCACGAACUUGAACGCCCAAAGAAUUGGAAGAAAGAAAUUUAUAUAAUGUUUUUGAUAAAUUGAUGUUUAUGGUUCAAAAUCUAAUAAGUUUUUAUCUAAAAAAAAUAAUAAUGUUUAAGUUUUAUCAUUUUUUAUUUUUUUUAACAACAGAAACAAUCUUUAUUCCAAAACAACAAAAAUUGAUGAUGAGAGAGGUUUUAUUUUUACCAAUUCAAAUGAAAUGAGGAAAGUCAAAAGCAAUUAGCAAAUUGGUAAUGUCAAUUGUCAACACAGAUUCAGUAGCUUGAGCUGUUCACUUGUACUAGUUUUUCUUUUCUUCCCAUUGGUUAACCAUUUCAUAAUUUACUAAUACAACGCGCAUUCUCAAUUUCCCAACUAAUACCCACAUUUUUAUUUUAUUUAUUUUAUUUUUGACAUAAGCAUUAUUAUUAUUAUUUUUAUUUUUAAUAUAUCGAUGAAGACAAAUUCAAAUGAAGCAAAAGAAAAUCUUUUCUAUUUUAAUAAAGAAAAACCGUGUUUUAUACUUUUCUCAUAUACGUAACAUAAAAUACAACUAAGACUAAGCUGUGAUAAUUAGACAUGUUAUUAAUUUUAAAUAAAUAAGUAGUAAUUACUCUGUCUUCUUCUUCCAGGCUCCAACCCAUAUAACCACAGAGCCCACUGUCACUAACCUUACUGAUUUCCCACUUCCAGUAAAAGAAGUAUAAACCUUUUUUGUACCUUUUUUUUUUUCUUUUGUUUUUAAUUACCAUUACUACCCUCACCAUCGAUUCUCCUCGUCUCUCUUAAAAUCCCGAAUUACCCUUUUUUUUUUCUUUUCUUGAUUCUGCAAUCCACCUCCUAAAUACUUUCCUUUUGGUCUUAUGAACUUCUAAAACUAAACAGCAAUUUCUUCUCCUUCUCUUUCAUUCUUGUCCUCGCUCAUUUCUCUCUAUCCUCAACAAACAUCAAGAAAUACGGCCGGUCUGGUCAUACUGCCGGCGACCCAUAAAAACCCAUUUCUUUUUACUCUUUCUCCCUCUUUUUUUCGCGUUCUUUCUUUUAAUAAAUCUUUAGCCCCAAAGCCAAGAACCUUCUUUUUCUUUAUUAAAAAAUUUACUUACCCAGCAAAGCUUUUGUAUUAAAUAACGUAUCUAGUCUUGAUCAUGACAUGUUAGUGGCUUGUAGUUUUGCUCACGACCUGGUCUCUCAACUAAGAAAUCUUCCUUCUGUUAUCUAUAUGUGAGAAUUUGAGGACAGUUGGUGACAUUGAAGCAUUCUCUUAUUUUAUUUAUUUUUUUUUUUUUUAAAGCUUGGUUCAAGUUUCGCCGUUUAGUCUCUUUAAAGCGUUGAUAGAAUCAGACAGAGGGAUCUGUCGUCUUUAGAGACCCGGCAUUCUUUUUUAUAAAGAUAAGGUAAGUCCCUUUUUUCGCAUUAGCUUCAUUGUGUUCACGAUAUAUAGUUUAUUGGUUUGAAAAUAUGGAUCGAUCUUUUCUUGCUUAAAGGUGAAAAUGUUUUUCUGUUAAAACAGGGUUUCUGUUUAUAGUGUUUUUAGUGUCGUUUAAGCGAUCUUUUAGAUCUUACGUUUUCUCUUGUUUUGGGUUUUGAAAGUAGCUACUACUGAGUUGCUGUGGGUUAUUUCGAUGUGAGUUUGAAUUAUAUAUAUAUGGUGAUUGCCAUAAGCCAUCUUUCUUUUUGCAAUGUUUCAAAAAAUGGUUUUAAGUGUUUUAUUGUGUGGUAUUUUUUUUGUCAUUUUCGCAUUUUUGAUGUUCUUUGGAAGUGCAAUUUUGUGCUAAUUUCAGCUGAUUAUGGGUUUUUGUUGUGAUGAACUUUUUUAAUUGCGAGAAAAAGUGGGAAAAUUUUAAAGAAAGAGUUUGGAUCUUAGACAUUUCUUGUGUUUUUAGAUUUUAGUAAACAAUAAGUCAAAAGUAUUUAAUCAGUUAAAGUCUGGUGCUCUCUUUUGAUAUAAGUUUUUGGGAAAAAAGUUUUGAUCACGGUUUUCCUUAUAAUUGAUUUUCUUGUCAGCUAGACGGAGGUUGUAGAUGAUCUAUAGCUAUCUGGCUUUACUCUAUUACAGCGGAAAGACUGACUGAUUUUUGAGACUUUUGGAAUGACAGUUUGGCAACAUAAACCUUUUGCUUGUUUUGAAGUUGUGUAAAAUGUAGACUUGGAAAUCAUUUGCUCUAGAUCAUAUUCAUAUUAGAUUCAACAUUAUAUAUAAAAUCUUGAUGGAAUUUUUGCAAUUUGAUAUUUUGGGAUCGAGUGUUCUAUUCAUGAAAAUUAUAUGCCGAUGCUAAAUUUUAUUCCACUUUGAAAUUUCAGGAUCUGAAGAGACUUCUCUGGGAGUAAUAGAACAUGGCCUCCAAAUCAUUAAGACUUAGCCGAUCAAAUCUAUCUGCGAGUUCAGAUGCAACCGACGGUCAGAAACCUCCACUACCUCCAACUGUGACAUUUGGCCGAAGAACUUCUUCCGGUCGCUAUAUCAGCUACUCAAGGGAUGAUCUUGAUAGCGAAAUUGGGAGUACUGAUUUCAUGAACUAUACGGUGCAUAUACCACCUACCCCUGAUAAUCAACCUAUGGAUCCAUCUAUCUCGCAGAAGGUUGAAGAGCAAUACGUGUCGAAUUCACUCUUUACAGGUGGGUUUAAUAGUGUUACACGGGCUCAUCUCAUGGACAAGGUGAUUGAUUCUGAAACAAGCCAUCCCCAGAUGGCUGGUGCCAAAGGAUCCUCCUGUUCUAUUCCAGGCUGUGAUGCAAAGGUCAUGAGUGAUGAGCGUGGCAUGGAUAUUCUUCCUUGUGAAUGUGAUUUUAAAAUAUGCCGGGAUUGCUAUAUUGAUGCAGUGAAAACUGGGGGUGGGAUUUGCCCUGGUUGUAAGGAGCCUUAUAAGAACACUGAAUUGGAUGAGGUAGCUGUGGAUAAUGGGAGGCCACUUCCACUUCCUCCACCAGGAACAGUUUCCAAAAUGGAGAGGAGGUUAUCAUUGAUGAAGUCUACAAAAUCAGCACUAAUGAGGAGCCAGACUGGGGAUUUUGAUCAUAAUAGGUGGCUGUUUGAAACAAGGGGGACUUAUGGAUAUGGGAAUGCCAUAUGGCCUACUGAUGGGGGUUUUGGCAGUGGGCAAGAUGAAGUUGCUGAACCCAAAGAAUUGAUGAAUAAACCGUGGAGGCCCCUUACCAGGAAAUUAAAGAUACCAGCUGCUAUUAUCAGUCCAUAUCGGUACAGUUUCCCUAUUCAUCAUUGUCUUUGUCUCCUAAGAGUCAGAAUUAUGAUAUCAUUCCAUUUCAAAAAUUUGACUUCAAAAAUUUCAAUGGCUACUUUGCUCAAUUUUGUUUUUACCAAUUGGCACAAUGGUACAUCAACAUGAAUUUGGACUGUCAAUUUUCUCUCUGUUCUCUCUCUCUCUCUCUCUCUCUCUCUCUCUCUCUCUCUUUGAUUGGUUUACUUUUUGAAACUUUUACCGUCCUUGACUUGUAGUUUAUUGAUAAUGAAGCAUAAUGAUUAUGCGAAUUACAGUGGCAACAACUGACUGAUGAAAAAGUAAAGUGAUUAUUAGUCAUUCAUGCCAUAUCAGUUAUUCCAAAUGUGGUCCAAUGUUUUUUUUUUUUUUUUUUUUUUUUUUUUUGUUAGUGUUUUCAAUAACAAUUAUGGUUUUGGCAAUGCCAUUUUUUGGUCCAACUUAUGCUAAUGAAUGUCUUUUGCUCUGCUGCAUCUGUUCUUACAGGCUGCUCAUUUGUAUUCGGAUAGUUGUCCUUUCAUUGUUUUUGACAUGGAGAGUCAGACAUAAAAACGAAGAUGCAAUCUGGCUAUGGGGGAUGUCAGUUGUUUGCGAGAUCUGGUUUGCAUUUUCGUGGCUUCUUGACCAACUUCCCAAGCUAUGCCCAAUCAAUCGGGCAACAGAUCUUAAUGUCUUGAAGGAGAAAUUUGAAACACCUAGCCCUGCUAAUCCCACUGGUAAAUCUGAUCUUCCGGGCAUAGAUAUCUUUGUUUCUACUGCGGAUCCAGAGAAAGAACCACCUCUUGUAACUGCAAACACCAUUUUGUCAAUUCUAGCUGCUGAUUACCCUGUUGAAAAACUUGCUUGUUAUGUUUCUGAUGAUGGAGGUGCACUUCUAACAUUUGAGGCCAUGGCAGAAGCUGCAAGUUUUGCUAAUAUUUGGGUUCCUUUCUGCCGUAAACAUGAUAUUGAGCCCAGGAACCCUGAGUCUUACUUUAAUUUGAAAAGGGAUCCUUAUAAGAACAAAGUGCGAUCGGAUUUUGUCAAGGAUCGCAGGAGAAUCAAGCGUGAAUAUGAUGAGUUCAAGGUUCGGAUCAAUGGCUUGCCUGAUUCUAUUCGCCGCCGAUCUGACGCUUAUCAUGCUCGUGAGGAAGUCAAGGCCAUGAAACUUCAAAGACAGAACAGAGAUGAUGAACCUGUGGAGAGUGUAAAGAUUCCAAAAGCUACUUGGAUGGCGGAUGGUACCCAUUGGCCAGGGACUUGGAUGCAUCCUGCGCCUGAGCAUUCUAAGGGUGACCAUGCUGGUAUAAUACAGGUAUCAAUCUUAGUACAUAGUUUUAUACCAGUUGUUCAGACCAUCUAAACAGUGAACUGACCGUGAUUUGUUCUGGUCAAUAUUUAAAGCAAUUGGUUAGGUUUCUGAUAGUUUUUUUUUAAAUUACUAUUUUUAACUGCAUUAUUUCAAUAAUUUAUUAGUUGAGUGGGAAGAGACUAGAAAGAAUUAAAAUAAUAUAAAAAAAGAAGAAAAGGUGAAAUAAUCAAUUGUGUGAUGCAGGUGAUGUUGAAACCUCCUAGUGAUGAACCACUGCAUGGAAAUGCUGAUGAUACAAAGAUCAUGGACCUUACAGAUGUUGAUAUUCGUCUUCCAUUGCUCGUUUAUGUUUCUCGUGAGAAACGCCCUGGCUAUGACCAUAACAAGAAGGCAGGGGCCAUGAAUGCGCUUGUUAGAGCUUCAGCCAUUAUGUCUAAUGGUCCCUUCAUUCUCAACCUUGAUUGUGAUCACUACAUUUACUACUCCCAGGCAAUGAGGGAAGGCAUGUGCUUCAUGAUGGAUCGAGGAGGUGACCGCAUCUGUUAUGUUCAGUUCCCUCAGAGGUUUGAGGGUAUUGAUCCUUCUGAUCGAUAUGCCAAUAACAACACCGUUUUCUUUGAUGUUAAUAUGCGUGCCCUUGAUGGUCUUAUGGGUCCAGUCUAUGUUGGAACUGGAUGCCUCUUUAGAAGGACUGCCCUAUAUGGCUUUGACCCUCCUCGAGCAAAAGAACACCACCCAGGAUGCUGCAGUUGUUGCUUUGGUCGGAAGAAGCAUUCCUCAGUUGGAAACACGCCAGAAGAGAACAGGGCAUUGAGAAUGGGUGAUUCUGAUGAUGAAGAGAUGAACCUCUCCUCAUUUCCUAAGAAAUUUGGCAAUUCGACGUUCCUCAUAGAUUCAAUCCCAGUGGCAGAGUUUCAAGGUCGCCCUCUUGCAGAUCACCCAGCUGUUAAGAAUGGACGCCCUCCUGGUGCUCUUACCAUUCCUCGUGAGCUUCUUGAUGCAUCAACUGUUGCAGAGGCAAUCAGCGUUAUUUCUUGCUGGUAUGAAGACAAGACAGAGUGGGGACAGCGAAUUGGUUGGAUUUAUGGGUCUGUUACUGAAGAUGUUGUCACAGGUUAUAGGAUGCACAAUAGGGGAUGGAAAUCAGUUUAUUGUGUGACCAAGCGUGAUGCUUUCCGAGGGACUGCUCCAAUCAAUCUCACAGAUCGGCUUCAUCAAGUCCUCAGAUGGGCUACUGGUUCUGUUGAGAUUUUCUUCUCACGCAACAAUGCCUUGCUAGCCAGCCCAAGAAUGAAAUUUUUGCAGAGGAUAGCAUAUCUUAAUGUUGGUAUCUACCCAUUUACCUCCAUUUUUCUGAUUGUCUACUGCUUCCUACCUGCACUAUCCCUUUUCUCUGGCCAAUUCAUUGUACAGACCCUUAAUGUCACUUUCCUCGUCUACCUUCUUGUCAUUACUGUGACUCUAUGCUUACUUGCUAUACUUGAGAUCAAAUGGUCUGGCAUUGAGCUAGAGGAGUGGUGGAGGAAUGAACAGUUUUGGUUAAUUGGAGGGACUAGUGCCCACCUUGCUGCGGUGCUUCAGGGGCUACUGAAAGUUGUUGCAGGAAUUGAAAUCUCUUUCACCUUGACUUCAAAAUCAGGUGGUGAUGAUGUAGAUGAUGAGUUUGCUGAUCUUUACAUUGUAAAAUGGACUUCAUUGAUGAUCCCGCCGAUCGUGAUCAUGAUGACCAACUUAAUUGCUAUAGCUGUUGGGUUUAGCCGAACAAUAUACAGUGUUUUACCGCAAUGGAGCCGUUUAAUAGGUGGAGUUUUCUUCAGUUUCUGGGUUUUGGCUCAUCUCUACCCGUUUGCCAAAGGUCUAAUGGGAAGACGAGGAAGAACACCGACCAUUGUUUUUGUAUGGUCAGGACUUAUUGCAAUCACUAUCUCUCUCCUUUGGGUGGCUAUCGAUCCUCCGUCAAAUACUACCCAAAUUGGAGGCUCGUUCCAGUUCCCUUGAGAGGCCCUUCUUUUUCUGUUGAGCUGCAUUUGUUCAGUGAAAUUCCUUCAUUAGUUCUUGGUUUUUUUUUCCCCUCAUUCAAAAAGUUUUAUCGUGUCGGAAAAUGGAUUAGGGUAUGUUCUUGUUGUUGUGCCCAUUUAUACUAAUGCUUACUUUUGUAACAGUUCUCCCAAGGAUCAUCAGGAACAAGUAGCUGAAAUUCUAGUCAUCAGUUUUCCAUUUUCACGUGGAUAACUAGGACCUUGCUUAUUAUUGUAUUCUUUGUAAUGUAGAAAGUGCACAUUGAAAGCAGUUAUUGCCAGAUUUAUUUUAUACACUUCAAAUUUACAAGUUUGCAUAUUUCUUUGUAGUUAUGGAUUCAUACUCUAAAAGAAAUGUUUAGAAAUUAGAGGGCUACAUAAAAAAAAAUAUAGUAUCGUGAAGGAAAUUUUCAAAUCACACUCUUUAUGGGAUAUUUGAAACUUAUACUAAAUAAGAGUAAAUCUACAUUCGUGUAGAUAAUCUAAAAUUAAUGGUUAUGAUCAAUUGACAAUUAAUGGAAAUCUAUGCAUCAAACUUGAAUUUAUUAAUAAUUUAGUUUUCUUUGUCCAAAAUAGUUUUUUUUUUUACUUAAUUAUAAUUGAUUAAAAAUUAAUUUUUAAAAAAAUUAAUUCUUAAAUUAUAAUCAAACUAAUUAUGAGAUCCUUAACUUAUAAUUUAUAUUAACAUUUUAAUCCAUCCGUCAAAAUUUUGAUAACAUUUUGAUCCCUCUAUUUUUAACGGAAAGAUCAAAGUGUUCAUAAAAUUACAAUUUAAGAAUCUUGUAGUUAUUUUUUAAAAAUAAAGAUUCUCAUAUUUUAAUUUAACUGUAAUUUAAGAAUUAAAUUUUUUCCCCAAAUUUUAAAUAAAGAAAUACCAUGUUUAAUUUUCUCAACCUUAUAUUUUUCAAAUGGAUUUAUUGAUUGAGUGUCGUGUUUAUAUAACAUAUUAUUAAUUAUACAAAUGAUAAAUUUCCCUCUUCCGUUCUUAGAAAUUUUUUUUUUUUAUUUUUAACUUUAUUUAAGCAAUGAAAGAUAUAUGUCUUGUUUCAUAUAAAUGCUUUGCAAAUUUCAUAUUUACUUGUUAAUGAAAAUACAAAUGUAUUUCCUCUAAAAAUAAAAAAUACAAAUAUAUAUGGAUAUAAUAUGAAAUUAUGACUAAAAAUAGAAUAUUUUUCCUUCCAAAAGAACGAAGAUUUUUUCUAUAUUUAUAUCAAGAAUAUUUAUAUUAGGUAAUACGUUGGCAAGUCUAUUUGUACAUGAUAUACCCUUCUAUUUGCAUUGGAAAAAACACAUCACUUGGAUGAUUUUUUUUCCAUAAUUAUACUAUAUAUUCAAUUUUUUCCCUAGCAUAAUUUUGAAAUUAAGAUUUUUUUCCAAAAAAAGAAAAUUUACGUCAAUCAAUUUCUAUAUAGGAUAAAAAAAAAAAUUGGAAAAAGGGACAGCUGUAAUUAUUUUAAAUAUUUUAACAUUCAAAUUAUAUAUAUAUUUUUUGAAGUACCCUUUUCAAGAAUUGGGCUGUCUGAAGUUCUCGUGUCGCAACGACUAAAAUUCAUUUGGAGCAAUUAUACCAUGUCUCUGCAAACUCCACCUGGCAUCACCUCGUGACUAAUACUACUUCAAUGUCCGUUACUUUUUAACUUUUUAUAAUAAUUAAAAUUAAAAUAAUUAUUGAACCACUUAAAUUUAAAUAAAUAAAUAAAGAUAAUUAGUUAAAUUAUUUUUUAAUUAAAAGAGAUAAAAUUUCGUAGAAAUACCUAAAUAAAAGUUAAUAAAAAUUGCUGUUGAAUGAAAAAGACUGGUAAAUGCAACAAAGAAACAAGUUCCACCUGCCAGUCACUGUUCAUAUCAUAAACUAUUAUUUUCUAAAAUAAGAUACAAGAUCUUCUAAAUAUCAUAAUUUUCGCAAUUUUUUAAUUUUUUUUAAAAUUUAUAUUUAACAUACACAUACUUUUAGCAAUUUUAAUAAUACAAAUGAAUAUGUGUGUAUUUAAUAUAUUUUUUUAAAAUUUAUAAAAUUCGAAAUAUUCUAUAUAAAAUUUAGUUGAAGAAAUUUUUAUAAAUUUUUAGCUAUUAAAUUUAAUAAAUUUCGCUUCUUUGCUUGAAAUUGGAUGUCACUUUCUUUCUCAUCCGCCUUCUAAAUUUGUUACCUGGCUCGAUCAUGAUCUAGCGGGUGUUUUCUAUUCGCGUUCUAUUUAGUUUUAUUUGAGCUUUUGCUCCCCUUAUCUUACAAAAAAGAAAUUUAAUAGAUUUCAAAAUUUAAAUAAGUCUCAUAAUAAUAUUGUCACUAUAAUUUAAUAGAAAUAUUAUUAUUAAUAAUAAAGUAUUAAAUAAAUACAUCACAUAAAUAAAGAGAAAUAAAUCACAAGAAAUAUAUUUUUUGAGUAUUAAUCAAGAGAAAUAUUUUACUUAUAAAAGUAAAUUUUAGUUAUACAAUAAUAAAUUAAAUUUCUAAAUAUCAUAAAAAUAUAUUUUCUAUCUGUAAAAUAUGUUCUCAAAAAUAUUUAUAUUAUGAAAAAUAAAUAUAAUUUAUUAAUUAUGUAUGAUCUGAUUGUUUAUCUUAUUUACGUGGAAAGUGAAAAUUUUAGAUUUUAAAUUGUUUUUUAUAUCUAUUCAACGAUUUCAACAAAUAAAAAAAAUUGUUUAAAAAUAAAUUAUUAAAUUUCCAUUCUAUUGAUAUUCCAUAAAAUAAAAUAAUAUAUUUUUGAUAUAGCAAGAUAAAGAUAAAGUUAAAAUAAAAUAACUAAUAUAAUCAUAAUUUCUUAAAAAUAAUUUCUACAUAAAAGGAAUAAGGAACUAUCAAAUAUUUAUACCCAUUUAGAGCAUCCCGAAUUCCAACACUGGAAAAUUGCCUGAACAUAUCGGUUCAAUUCCCGUUGCGAAUCUUCGGUCCUAUCUGAAAUCCCCCUGUCGUCUAAUGGUGAUUUACAAUUCAGGUAUGAGGAUAGGGGCUCCAUGACUUUCACCGAUGUGAUGUGAGGGAGAUUAUACAGCUUCAGAUCACUCUCUGUCCGGGCCUUUGGGUCUGAAGUCCUCUUUCUUCUCGGCUCUUCACUUGUUUAUCGUCCCUGCUGCGCUCUUUCGCCGCACACCGCCGUCGCCACGUGGGUAACAUAAUUAUUGCUGCCUUUGGUAUGUUAAAAAGCUGAGAUUUGUUUAUCGAAUUACAAGAUUUCAAUUACUUUGUUGAUUUUUUUUUAGCUUCCAUGGAUACCAGUGAAGACUGUAAACUGAAAAGGCAAAAACUUUGCGAGACAAUCGUUGAAGAUAGGAUUAGUAGUUUGCCAGAGGCGGUUCUUGGCCACAUUUUAUCCUUUCUUCCAACUAAAACUGUAGUGCAAACAAGUAUUUUGUCUAGAAGAUGGAGAAACAUUUGGAAUUCUGUGUGUAAUUUUGAUUUUGAGUUUCUUUAUGAUGGUAAUGAAGACUUGAGCAGGGUACAAAAAUUUGGGAGAUUUGUAGACUCAGUACUAAUUCUUCGUUCUUACCCAUGUAUUAAAAAGUUCCGCCUUCACUUUCAUUCUUCGUUACCUUGUAAUGCAAGUACAUGGAUUCGCGCUGCAGUUAGGAAUAAUGUUGAGGAGCUUGAUCUCGGUAACUUUCUAAGUACACUCGAGAUGCCUCGGAUCGUUUUCAGUUGUGAGACUAUAAGGAUCUUGAAGGUUUACCAUGGAUUUACCUUUCAGAUUCCCGAGGCUGUAUGCCUUCCAAGUCUCAGGGUUCUUCAUUUGGUAUCUCUUUUUUCCUUGAAGGAUGGUGACAUAGAGAAGUUUUUAUCAGGAUCCCCUGUUCUCGAAGAACUAUUUAUUAAUUCGCAUCAUAAUGAUCUUGUAACAACAUUGUCUGUUCAGUCCUCAUCACUUAAAAGUUUGAAAAUUCGGAGGAGAGAUCAGUGUCGUUUUGGAUUUUUUAGGCUUAUAAUUGAUGCACCAAAACUAGAAUUUCUUGAGCUGAUUGAUUAUGUCUCUGAAGAAUUUGAGAUAGUGAAGUUGUUACCUUCACUAGUUAAAGCAUCUGUGGAUGUUAGGCCAGAAGAUUUCAUUUAUGACAGCGUACAAGCAGCUCAGGUGUUUGGACUUCUGAAACAAAUCUCUAAUGUGAAAUCUUUAAGCUUAUUUGGAGUUACGGUUGAGGUAAUUGCUUCUCUGUUUACUUUUAUUUUUAUUUCAUUUGUAUUGGGAUUAUGCUCACUGUCUUACACUUUGCCUUCUCAGGGAAUUGAUUUUGCAGAUACAGGUUUCACUUACCCCAUUUUUCAUAAUUUGAUGCAUUUGGAGGUGAAUGCCAAUGAAAAUGGAUGGCUCGGGUUCCUUGAAAUACUCAGAAACUCACCAAAUUUGGAGACAGUCGUACUCCAUAAGGUCAGUUCAAAUGGCUCAAUUCAAAUAUAAAAUCUAUAAAUUUGAAUAUUUCUUACUUCAUAUGUGAUGAUAGAGGAGUAAAUAUGGAGCUUUGUUUGACUUGAUACUGUCAUUAGAGUUAUAGAUAAAUAAAUUUUAAUAUAAUUCCGUAAAAUUCUAUUUGAAAUCUAGUAGAAGUGCUUGUUUGUUCUCUCUUUAUGUUUGUUCUUGUGACUCAAAAGGAGGGGAACACCUAUAAAAACCUUAGAUUAAAUGGAACAGAGAUCUAGGGAAUGAGACUCCAUGCACAUCUUCACUAACACAAGAAUACCCUCGGGAGGCUUAUGAACGUUAUGUAACCCCAUACUGAACUUGAGAGCUGGAAUGAUGGUGCCUUUUUGAAACACAAGAUAGGAGUGAGUUUUUACAGGUUGUGCUGAAAUUAUGGAACUGUAAAUGGAACUAAGUUGUAUCUAUAUGGUAUUGAACUUUCACUGGUGUUAGUUAAUAAAGCUUUGAUUAUCUUUUGUCAACAGCAUGAGAUUAUGCUAGAAAUUUGUUUCUUGCAGUGAUAUCUUUUACUAAUUUAAGCUUUGAUUAACAUUCUACUGGAAGAACUUCAAUCAUCUUUUGUGAACAGGACAAUGAUCGUUCCGAUUAUCCUGAUGAAAGCUUUCGGGCACCAGCUGUGCCCCGAUGUUUCUUCUCAUCUCUCAAGAGAGUUGAACUUAGAGGAUUUGAAGGAAAUAGAGUGGAGAUGAAAGUAAUAAGAUAUUUCCUGAAAAAUGCUAAGGUCUUGAAGAAACUUGCAAUUGAAUAUUUGGAUGACAUGGAUCCUAAGAAAGAGACGAAGCUGUUGAAGAAGCUGUUAAAGUUUCCAAGGGCCUCAUCCACAUGUCAAAUCAUAUUUUAUUGAACUCCUUACCUGAAACUUUCUGUUUUGUUGAUUGCAUGCCAUGAACUUGCUUAUGAGGGGCAUUUUCUGAUAUUGUUAAUAAGAGAGGUCUACAGGUUCCCUCUUUAUGAGUUCGCAAGCUCUCUGUACUGAAGUUCUUGGGAUUAUAUAUAAAGAUUUAUACAAUGUGUCAAAAAAUAUGAAUUUAGUUCAUCUUUCUAUAUCUGAGACCAACUGGUGACUGUUACAUUAUUAGGGUCAUAAAUCAAAUCCUGAGACGCAAUUGAGACUUGUGACAAUUUAUUUAGACUUUGAGCAAAAUUUAAUGAAUUGGCAGGUAUUUUCAUUGAACAACUAAGCAUAUAAUUCUCCCCUUUUGAAAGACAUUUGUUGUGUUUAUAUCUAUUAUGUGUAGCUGAUCCUUGAAGACCGCUUCAUGAGGCGAUAUAUAUUGCAAUCAUGGACCAAAUUUUGCACCCUAAAGCUCAAAAGAAGACCCAUUAUUGUGAACACGAGUCCUUUAAAGGGGAGAAUUGUCAUUUUGGUAUAAUCAGGAAGUGUGAUUCUUAAAGGUGAGAAUUGUCAUUUUGAUAUAAUCAGAAAGUGUGAUUCCCUAGGAUUGUGAUUCUUAAAGGGAAGAAUUGUCAUUUUGGUAUAAUCAAGAAGUGUGAUUCCUCCCUCGGAUUGAAGGAUAGGAAGGGAGAAUUGUCAUUUUGAUUUGGGAGUUAGUCUAGUAUACAUACAUGAAUUUACUUCUAUUUAGUACUAAAAAUGUGAUAUUAUCUGACCUACGACCCUUAGUCUAGAUAACUAAGUUGAGGUCCUCAUGACCAAAAGAUCAUGGGUGUUGUUCCCUUCCAGCAUUCUAAUAUUAUAACCUCGACCUGCCAAAUUUGCACAUAUUAGUGUAGAAAGAAAAUAUACACGUUAUCAUAAAAGCAUGCCUAGUAAUUAAACUAAAAGGAUAAACGAUUCAAAGAGAAAUUUAGAAUCAAAAUUUCACUAAUUAGGAGAAUCAAUAAAGAAAAUAUAAAAAGAAAGAAAAGGUUUAUAGCUAGAAAAUGGUAGAGAAAAAGUAGAUGACAAAGAAAACUUGUCUUGACUCUUUAGUAAUAACUUUCAAAACUGAAAAAUUCCUCACGUAGUAAACCUAACCCGUCACUUAAAAGCCAAAAAAGAAAAAACAAAAACCCUGAAAAAACAUGCAUGUAGAAAGCGUGAAAAUUUAGUUGUUAAAGCAGCAUAUAUGCAUGUCCAAGCUAACCUACCUCUCAUAUUAGAAGCUCACAACACAAAUAUUUUCAUUUUCAUUUCUCAAGAAAAGAAAAUACCAAUGGCAACUUACCUGAAAUUAUUACUACUCUUAUCUUCUCUUCUCUCGGCAAUAGCUACAGAUAUUACCUCCAGAAGCCAUGAACUCGAUGUUGCAAUUGAAGAAAUGACAACGGCUAAUUAUUUCACCUUUGUAACCCUAAUUAACAUGGCUCCUUUUGAUAAUAGAAUUCAAGAAAAUAUCACUUUCUUGAUGCCUAAUGAUAAAAUCUUGUCAAAAACAGGAAUCUCCCAAGAUUCUGUUUCUGAUUUUCUUCUUCGCCAUUCGAUUCCUUCUCCUUUAAUUUUCGAGCAUCUUCAGCAUAUUCCAUCUGGUUCUAGAAUUCCAAGUUCAAAGCCUGAUUACAUGCUUGAUAUUAACAACAAUGGCGGCCGGAGAAGUUUUUUUCUUAAUAAUGUCAAAAUUAUUAGCCCUAAUAUUUGCACUGCAGGUUUUUCGAUUCGUUGCCAUGGAAUAGAUGCUGUGUUGGUUGAUAUAAACAAUAAUACAUUAUCCAGUUGUUCUAACGCCAGUGCUCCUCCGGUGGUUGUGGGGGCUCCACCACCAGUAUCAGCAUUAUUACCGCCGUUACCACCGGCAGCUGUAGCUCCUUCUGCGAUUGCCUCUGAUCAGAUUCCUGUGGUGGCUGAUAAUGGUCCAAAAAAGUCAGGGUCUUCUAUGUCAUUUAAAAUAUCUUUGAAAUUUACUUUUAUUUUUGUUGUUAUUUCAAUAAUUUGGUUUAAUAUAUAGUUUAAUUUGUAUUUGGAAUUAAAUUAACCUAUUUUAGUCAAUGUUUUAUUGGAUUUAAAUUUGUUUUUUAACACUAUACGUAUAAAUUUUCUGAAAAGAAAAAUUGAUCUCGAUGCAUAUAAGUUUCUUUUUAAAAGUUUUUACAAGUGCAAACUGUAAGAAAAUGUUAAUUUUACUAAUUCUUUUUAUUUAAUUUAUUAUAAUCUCUUUCUGAAAAUUGUUUUUUCAAAUGAAUAAUAAAUAACAAUUACAAUAAGAAUGUUACAGCUUCACUCUUUGUAUUAAAAAUGCAUUAAAUAAUAAUAUAACUUUACUGAUUUAUAUUUUUUUUUUCAAAAAUAUAAUUUAUUAAUAAUAAUAUGAAAUAUUAAAAAUACUCAAUUAAAUCAAACAUAAAAAACCGCAACAACAAAUUGGUGGCACAACGGUUAACAGCUAGACAUAUGCCAUCUUUAUACCCAUUAAUUAUGCACUGCAUAUGAAAUUCAGCAUCUCUUAAAGCAUAAACGAUAAACUUUUUCAUCUACUUUAAUAUUUUCUAUACAUAAAUAAAUAAACAUUAUAACUGAAUUUUCCUUCAAUAAUUAUUGAAAUUCAAAAAUAAUAAAUUCGUUUGGAUUGAUGGUAGGGCACAGUCAUACUCCAAUACUAAAAGGGUAAAAACUUUUUAAAAUUAAGACUCCAGCAACAUAUUUUGAGGGAGAGUUUAGAGUUUUGACUGUGUCAAAACACUAUUUUUAUAAAUCAUAUCAUUGGUUGGGUAAAGUAGUAUAUAAAAUAGGUGUUAGUAGAUAAGAUAAAGUUUAUUAAAAUUUUAAUCCAUCUAAGUUUAUAUUUUCUUAUUAAAAUUUUUUUGACAAUUAUGGCCUUAAUUAAUUUAUAGUAACAUUAGUUUAAAGUUUUUUUUUGCUAUGAUACUGCAAGUCUGCAAUUAAGUUAAAAAAUUACAUUAUUUUACUCAAAAAUUUAAACAAAAUAAUUUCAUAAUGAAUUAAUAAAGGAAUAUGUGAGGAAAUUGUAUUAUCAUUUUAGAAAUGAUAAUGAUGUCAAUUUAUAUAAUUGGACCACACACUAUAAAUUGACAUUUUUUUUUUAAUAAUGAGUUCACUACUAUAGUUAUAAAUAAAAUUCUAACUCAAUAUUUAAAUGUCUCUUUUUGUCACGUUAAAUUCAAUAGCUAAUCAAAUAAUUAUUUUUACCGAAUACUUUUACUCUAAAUAGUUAUAUAAACAGCUAAUAGCUUGUAAAACCGCUAACAGGUACUAAAACAGCUGAUAUUGUCGAACAGGUACUAAGAGGACAAAAUUAAAAGAAAAUUUUUUUUUGCAAUGUUUUAUAGGGGAAUUUCAAAAAAUUAUAGAGUUUGGGAGAUCCGCCUUGUCCAGUCCCUCUCCCUCUGCCUUGGGUCGAUAGAAUUUGAGUAAUAAAAUUUUAAAAUUUUAUGAAUUUGUUAGAUUUGUUUAUUUGAACUCAAUACUCAAUACUUGAUCUUCAUAAAUCACAUCCUUGAACUCAAUACUCGAUCUUCAUUAUUAAGAUUCUGCUGGGAUUAAUGCUCUAAUCCCGAGUGGGGCCCGUGAAGAAUGCUGGUGGUAGAAGUAAAAUAAAAUUACCGAUGAUAAAAGUUAAUAUUGCCGAUAAAGAUUUAAAUUACUAUUACCACAUUCACCUCCAAUAAUUUCAUAUUGGAUAUUAACGACCGAAUCCACCAGAAAUAAUAAUCACGAUAAAAAUUAAAUAAUUACCGUAAAUGCCAGAUAAAAAUAGGGAUAAAGAGAUUUACGUGGUUCACCCUUCAACUAUUAUGGGCUACAUCUAUAGAACAAAAACUUCGAAUAAUUCUUCUACUAAAAAUAGUAGGUACAAAAAAGAUUGCAAAAAUAGUGGCACUCUAAGUGUUUCUCAAAAACACUCCAAAAAUUAUAAUCCUAUCUAUUUUCUCUCUUUUCCAAUUUUAGGAACUCUUUUCUAAAAUUCUCUACACUUAAUUGUGUAUUCUUAUUCUUUUGUUUUUGUGUGUUUAGGUUGAAAAAAAACUUCUCCUAUUUAUAGGAGAAGUGGAUGCGUUAAUCAAUGCAUCUGCACAAUUAACGCAUACAUCUUCGUUUUGUAGCUCCAGCCUUAUUUGACCUUUUAAACAAAACGUGUUUUUCUCCUUUUUUUUUUUUUUUUCUUUUUCAAACUUGUGUGGGUCCCACACAACAGAUUCGAGUUGUAUAAUUAUGAUUAAAUCCUACAAUUGGAGAAAUAAUGUAAACCAAGUAGAUAUAUUUCUUUUUUUUUUUUUUUUUUUGUAUUAUAUAAUAUAAUUACUAGGUGUAUUUCUUAGUUUAAGAGCAUGAAGAACUCAUUUUCUAUUUAGGCUGUCUCAGCUUAUUGUAAUUAAGCAGGGCAUGCAUUUACCAUGUGGGAAUUAAAAAUUAAAAUGACAAAUGCCAAAAAAAAUGAACCCACCCUUAGGGCAUAAGCGAUCCCACCCAAUCUAUGUAUUAGAUAGCCUUUGAUAUAUCUCUAUACUUUAAUACCGCAUAAAGGCUUCACAUCCAAACAUGCUUCUUUGUUACAAUUUACAUUCAAUUACUUUAUUAAGAAUUGUUGAUUAUUUCAAGCACAAUGCAAAUGAAAAUUGAAAAUUAUUAUUAAAAAAAUGAUAAUUUAAAGCGUCAAACAAUUCAUUUAUAAAUAUAGAAAUAGGAAUAGAAAAAUUCAUAAUUGCAAUUUGGAAUAAUUGUUUGGAUUGAGAGAAAAAUAUGAAGUUUCAUGGAAUAUCUUUUCUUUUGUAGUUUUGGUUAUUUCUAUUGUAACAACAAUUAUGUAAAUUUACUUUUUGUUUUAUUGAAAAUAAAUUAGUGUUUUAAGCAGCUUAUUAAGAAUAAAUUAGUAAUUUUAGUUUAUUAACACUUAAAAAAUAAAAUGUAUAUAUCAUAGAAUAUUAAAGUGUCAUGUAGAAUGAUAAGUAAGCCAAAUGGAAUAGAAUGUUCUUAAUAAUUAAACCUUAUUAAAGAGAGAGAAAUAAAAUGAAAAAAAGCCACUUGGCAAUUGUUUAAUAAAUAUAAAUAAUGUCAAAUGGCAUAGAUGGCAAAUCUUCUGCUUUUAAAUAUGGUAAUAUUAUACAGAUAGAUUGAGAUUACAUACCAUAUUAAGCGCUAAACCAAUUAAAAAAUUUAUGAGAUUGGCAAAAUUUCUUAUCAUCUCUCUUAUUGCCAUUGCUUUUCUCAUCUCUUCUAUUAGCUCUGCAGGUCUUUCGAUCUAUUUAACUUAUCUAAUCCCGUUGGUUGGAUUUUAGGCUCUACUUCGGUUUGAGUUGAGUUUGAUUUUUAAAGUUCAAUAAGAGUUUAUUUAAUUCGGUUUGAUCCAGUUCAAAAAUAAACCAACUCAUAAACUUUGAACUCUAUUUAGAUUUAUAAUGAAUGUACAUAUAUUUUGCUACUGUUAGUCACAUUUCAUUAAUUAUUACUUUUGAUUUAUACUGUUUUUACAAAUAUCGUAUAUCAGUGCUAGCCAUUUUUUAAAAGAUGAUUCAUUGAAACAAAAUUAAAAAUAAAUUUAAUUAAUUAAUUAGAGAUCAACGAGUUAAAAGAACUCUUUACGAAUUUGCUUUAUUUAAUUAUUCUAAUUUUAACUUUCAUUUACAUUUUGUUUUAUUAGUGUACUUUAAUUAAUAGCCAAACGAGCUUUAUUUAAUUAAUCGCAUUUGUGUUGAAUCAAUUGGAAUAGUUCUUUCUAUGAUGAGGUUAACAAUACUAGAAAUGAUAGUGUCCAAAAUCUUACUUUUAUGAAUAAGAUUCCUGCUGAGGAAUAGAUGUCUGUGAAAGAUUUGUUACAGCUUGAUUGAGACAAUAAUACAAAGUAUAUUUAUUAAUUUUAAUAUAUUCAAUAUAUACCUUAUAUAUAUAUAUAUAUAUACAGUAUAAUAUUACCAAUCAAAAUUAAAUUAUUUUUAUUUUUCAACUGAUAAAUUUUAAAUCCUUAAAGAAAUUAUAUUUUUACUACAUUUAAUAUAUACUUUAUUUAAUAUCCAUCAAAUAGUUACUAUAUUAUAUUAUAUUACCAUAUAAUAUGUAUAUAUUACCAUAUUUAAAAUACAAUUAUAUGGUAUUGUAUUUUAAAUACAAUACCAUAUUUAAAAUAUAUAUACAUAUUAUAUUAAAUUAUAUUAUAUUAUAUCAUAUUAUAUUGUAUACAUAGUUACUAUAUUAUAUUAUAUUACCAUAUAAUAUGUAUAUAUUACCAUAUUUAAAAUAUACCAUAUAAGAAGGAAGCUUCUCAUAGAUAUUCAUAGAUAGUGAAUUGAGAGAGCAGGUUGUAAAGGUAGAAAAAGAAAAUCUCAAUCAAGUUUAUAAAUGAUUGUAAUGAUAUUGUAUUUUUACUAUAUUUAAUAUAUACUUUAUUUAGAAUUCAACAAAUAGUAUUUUCAUAUUAUAAUAUAUUGCCAUAUUGAAGAUAUACAUUAUAUACCAUAUGUAAUAUUCUAUUUAUAUUAUAUUGUUUAGAUUUUAAAGCCAUUUUAUAAGAAUAAAAAUGGAACCGAAUAGUAUCACUAUAGUCUGUGUAUACCUUGUAUAAUAUAUAAUAUAAUUUAUUAUUUAUCCAAUAGAAUUUAGAUUUAAAUAGAAAAUUAAUAUGACCAAUUAAAAUUAGAUUAUCUUUAUUUUUUCAACCAAUCAAAUUAAAAUCUUUAAUAAUAUUUUUGUCACUCCAUAAUUUUAGUAGAGACUUUUUUAAUAAUUCCAAAGUCCUUCCACCAUCUCACAUUUAUAGGAGUUUUGUUUUACAUGUUUUCGGUUUCAAAACCGUCAAUUCUAGUUAUAAAUCAAUCAAAUUAAAGAUUUAUUAAAAAUAAUAACUAAACAUAUUAUUCUUAUCAUAUUUAAUAUGUAUCUUAUAUAGUAUAAUGUAACCAAUCAAAAUUAAAAUCUUUAAAAUUGGUCCGUUGGAAUAUGCUUGUUGGUUGUCAUAUACAGUCAUUAUCUGUGAGUGUAGGUUGUCAGAUAUAGUCAUUAGCUGUGAGGGUUAUCGGAUACAGACAAUAUCUGUGAGAAUUUUCCUUCUCAUAUACAUCCAAAGUAACGUCUAUAGUGGACUGACAGAGUGAACUGUAAAAGUAAAAAAAACAUCUCAAAAAACAUCUCAAUCAAGUUAAUAAAGGACUGUGUUGAUAUUAUAUUCUUACCACAUGUUAAUAUAUACUUCAUUAUCAAAUAGUAUUACCAUAUUAUAAUUGAUGAUUUUAAAAUCUUUGGUGGUAUUUUUAUCGAUUCAUAAAUUUAGUAUACGUGUUUUUGAUAAUUCUAGUGGUCCCCACACAUUCUCACUUUUGUAGGAAUAUUAUAUUAUAUUGUAUCGAUUUCAAAACCAUUGGGUAUAGUUAUAAACCAAUCAAGUUAAAGAUUUAUUAAAAAUAAUAACUAAACAUAUUAUGUUUUUAUCAUAUUUAAUAUGUACGCCUUAUAUAAGAGUAUCACAUAACCAAUUAAAAUUAAAUUACCUUUAUUUUUUUUAAUCAGUAAAAUUAAAAUCCUUAAAAUUGAUCCGUUGAAAAAAGAUUGUUGGUUGUCGAUUAUAGUCAAUAUCUGUGAAAUGCUUUCUUCUCAUACAUAUUCAAAGCAACGUCUGAUAGUGGACUGACAGAGCGAGCUGUAAAGGUAAAAAGAAAACAACACAAUCAAGUUAAUAAAUGAUUGCGCUGAUAUUAUAUUCUUACUAUAUUAAUAUAUAUUUUAUUUAAUAUCAAUUAAAUAGUAUUACCAUAUUAUAAUAUUAUAUUAUAUUAUAUUAUAUAGUUUCAGUUUCAAAACUACCUAUUUGAAAAUCUUUAAUGAUAUUUUUUUCAAUUCAUAAACUUAGUGGAUGCAUUUUUUAUAAUUUUACUGUUCCCUCAUACAUUCUCACUUUCAUAGGAGUAUUAUACUCUAUUGUUUCGGUUUAAAAACCGUGAGUUCCUAUUAUAAACCAAUCAAAUUAAAGAUUUAUGAAAAAUAAUAAUUAAACAUAUUAUAUUUUUAUCAUAUUUAAUAUGUACCUUAUACAGGAAUAUAACAUAAUCGAUCAAAAUUAUAUUACCUUUAUUUUUCUAACUAAUAAAAUUAAAAUUCUUAAAACUGGUCCAUUAAAAAAGACUUGUUGGUUGUUGGUUACGGUCAAUAUCUGUGAGAAGAUUCCUUCUCAUAUAUAUCUAAAGUAACGUCUGAUAGUAGACUGACAGAGCGAGCUGUAAAGGUGAAAAACUAUCUCAAUCAAGUUAAUAAAGGAUUGGGCUGAUAUUAUAUUCCUACUAUAUUAGUAUAUACCUUAUUUAGUAUAAAUCAAAUAGUAUUACUAUAUUAUAUUAUAUUACACCAUAUAAUAUAAUAUAAUAUAAUAUAUAUAAUACACAUUAUCAUAUGAUACAUAUAUAUUACCAUAUUUAAGAUAUACAUUAUAUACCUUAUUUAAUAUUAUAUGGUUUUGGUUUCAAAACUAGUGGUUCUAAUUAUAAGAAAAAAAAGAUGGAACCAAAUAGUAUUACUAUAUUUUAUACAUACCUUAUAUAGUAUAUAAUAUAAUUUUUUAUUUUAUCUAAUAAAAUUUAGCUUUAAAUAGAAAAUAGAUAUGACCAAUCAAAAUUAGGUUACCUUCAUUUUUUCAAUCAAUCAAAUUAAAAUCUUUAAUGAUACUUUUAUUUUAAUUUAUAAACUUAGUAGAGACGUUUUUAAUAUUCUUCCGCCCAUUCUCACUUUUAUAGGUGUAUUAGGUUAUAUGGUUUCGAUUUCAAAACUGUCAAUUCGAUUUAAACCAAUUAAAUUAAAGAUUUAUUAAAAAUAAUAAUUAAAUAUAUUAUAUUCUUACUAUAUUUAAUAUGUAUUUUAUGCAGGAGUAAUUUUAUUUUUAUUAAAAUUUAGUUAUCAAAUUAUAGUUGAAUAAGAAAAUUUAUGUUGUAUUAUAAUGUGAUUUACAUUAUACAACAUUUUGUGUAGGUGCAAGGUAUAUAUAAAAGAAACAAGAAAUCAUAAUUAGAUAUUGUAAGAUCAGAAUCAGAUACACUAGGAUUAUAAUCAGAUAUUUUAUUUUAUUUUAACAAUUAUAAUAAUAUUUUAUUAUUAUAAAAGUGUUAUUCCCUAUACAAGGUUAUUAAUUAUUGAUUUUUUUGUUUUAUUAUUUCGUAAAAUAUAUAUUUUUUAUUUUAUAAAUACUUAUUAAUGUCCAAUAUAAAUUGUUGAUAAUAUUAUAAUAAAAUAAUAAAAAAAAAUAUAUGUAUAAACUAAAUUACAUUUACCCUUAUAGCCAACGUGGAGGAGACGUUGGAGAAAUCUAGUAAUAAAAAAAUGCUUCACCAAGCAUGAGAUAACAGAUUCAGCUUUUCCUUGACAGGAACCAAAAUUGGGAAAUUAUUUAGUUAGCUAAAAAAAAUUAGAAAAUGAAAAAUCAAAUUUAAUUAAUAUCAACCAUUGCAUUGAACAGUCGCUUUAAAGGGUAAGCAGGGAGAGUUAGGUAGAGGGAAAAUAUUUGAUGAGAGAGAGCAAAGCCAAAAAUGAGAAGAAGAAUAACAAUAAGACCAACAAAAAAAAAAGGGUUGGGUUCGAUUUGGUUUUGAUUUGGUUUGGUUUGGUUUGGUUUCUUGAAAAUGAGACAGGGGCAUGCUUUCUUCUCCAUACUUCCCUUUCUAAAUCCACCUACUUCUAUUCUCACCCAGUCUUUAAACCUGUCCUCUUCUCCUUCCAUUCUCUUUAUUACAGUAUCUCUUUUUUCUCUAUCAUAUGCAGACAUAAUUACUUUAAAUAAUAAUAUUGACGAAAAAUUAAAGUCCUUUCUUGACUUAUUUAUGAUUCUAUAUAAUAAACUAACUUCACACACAUAACAGGCUUUUCAAGAAACAAGAAAAGAAAUAAAGAAAUUAAAAUUCAACUUCAAGAAAACCAAAAGCCAUGAUAUCCUUAGCCUCUGUUGAACCUCCUGAACAAAAACCCUCUCCUCCUCAAAACCAAGAUCGUUCUUCUUCUUCCUCGGAAACCCAUAUUUUCAGAUCAAAAUUACCAGACAUACCCAUUUCUAAUAAUCUUCCUCUCCAUACUUAUUGUUUCGAAAAUCUUUUUAAUGUUUCUGAUAAGCCAUGUCUUAUAUCAGGUUCUACAGGCAAAACCUACACUUUUGCAGAAACUCAUAUCAUAGCUCAGAAAAUAGCUGCUGGUUUAUCGCAUUUGGGUAUCAAGAAAGGCGAUGUUAUUAUGGUUCUUCUCCAAAACUGCCCAGAAUUCGUCUUUUCUUUCAUUGGUGCUUCCAUGAUCGGAGCAGUAACCACUACUGCUAAUCCUUUUUACACCAAAAAUGAAAUUUUCAAGCAAGUGAUUGCUUCGCGUGCUAAGUUAAUCAUUACCCAAUCCUUGAAUGUUGAAAAACUAAAAGAUUUGGAAGAAAAUUUUAUUCUGAUCACCAUUGAUGACCCACCAGAAAACUGUUUACAUUUCUCAGUACUUUCAGAAUCAAACGAAAGUGAAAUUCCUGAAGUUGAAAUAGAUCCUGACGACCCCGUGGCUUUACCAUUUUCUUCAGGAACGACAGGAUUGCCUAAAGGAGUGGUAUUAACACAUAAAAACUUAAUUACAAGCGUAGCGCAACAAGUGGAUGGAGAGAAUCCAAACCUUUGGUUAAAAGAAGAAGACGUUGUUUUAUGUGUAUUGCCUCUGUUUCACAUAUAUGCAUUAAACAGUGUUUUGCUAAACUCGCUUAGAGCUGGAGCCGCUGUGUUGUUAAUGCAAAAGUUUGAGAUAGGAACGUUGUUCGAACUAAUUCAGAGACAUAAGGUGUCUGUAGCCGCGGUGGUGCCGCCGUUGGUGUUGGCGUUGGCGAAAAAUCCGAUGGUGGCUGGAUUUGACCUUAGUUCGAUCAGGGUGGUGCUUUCAGGGGCGGCGCCGCUUGGGAAAGAGCUGGAGGAUGCUCUCCGGAGUAGAGUGCCUCAGGCGAUCUUAGGACAGGUUAGUAACAGCGUCACUCAAUAUAAUUUAUUUUUUUUAAUUUUUUUUUUUUAAUGGGUAAUCCCUCCCCCCCUUUUUUUUUUGUGUCAUUUUUCUUUUUUUUUUUUUUUUUUUCUUUUAACUCUUUCGAUCUGAACUUGUGUCGUUUUCACUUUUUUGGGUUUAUUUUUCUCGGUGAGAUUUUUAAAAAAGAAAAGGAGGAUUUAUAUUUUUUUUUUCUUAAUUUGCAUUUUUCAAUGAUAAACUUCAAGUUAAUUUAUCAAGUUGAACUCUCGUGAUGAUAACUAAAUAAGAGUUUAAUUUAGAUUUCUUUGCACCAGUACCUAGAGAUGGGAGCGGAAUGAAUAUUUUAGAUCACUCAUAUAAAAAUCCGUUUAAUAAAAAUAUGAAUAAUUAUAAAUGAGUUCAGAAUGAAUAGUGAAUUAUCAGUAGUAAAUACAAAUAGGAUACAGGCAUAAAUCUAGUUAUCCACUACUCAUUAUCCGUGAUAUUAAACAAAUUAUUAGUUGUGAGCAUAACCCAGUUUCUGAGGCAAGCUAACAGGGUCGGUUCAAACCGGAACUGUAUCAUAAAGGGGAUUGAAAUCAACUUAAAAAUGGCUCAGAUUUGAAUUAGUUUCAAUUUCAAUAUUUGAAAGUACAAUCACUUGGUUUUGAAUCAAAAUCAAAAUUGAACCAACUAGUUUGAAACUGAUAUCAGUUUUAUUUCUAAAAUUUUUGAACAAUUAAUUUAUGAAUGGGUCGAUCAUGCUUUUUUUUUUUUUAAAGAUAAAGAAUAAUUUCAUUUCAUAUCAUAGAAAGAAACUAAAUAGCUUGAAAUUAUAUUCCAAACUUGAAGACAAUCAUAUUUAUAGGAAGCUCGUAUUAAUGAAUGAGUUCGAAUUAAAUUGCCUUCUGAUUCAUCUAAUGGGUCUUUUAGGAUUAAAACUCAAUUCAACUCUUUUCUUUUUUAUUUUUAGCCCAAUUACCAUUUUUAAAUCAUCAGAUUCAACUCUCAAAUCAAAAAAUUAAAAGCUUUAUUCUAGAUAAUAUUUAGGCGAAAUUUUUAUAAUAUCAAAAAAUAACUAUACCAAACUCUUAAUAUUUUCAAAUAUAUAAAACUCUAAUUAAAUAUUUUCUUUAUGUUUCCGCUUUCUAACAAAGCUAAAAAUAUUUUUUUACCUUUUUUCUUUAAUUUUUCUGUUGUCAACCUAAAUCUACAUCUUCUAAUUCUAUCUCUCUAUCAUUUUUUAAAAUUAAUUAUUCUCUAUUUUUUCCAAGUUACACGUUAAAUAUAUCAAGUUAAUUUUUUUUUUGAAAUAGUUAUAUUUCAAUUAGUCAUUAUGUAGAUUACAAUAACGAACAAUUAUAUAAAUGCAAACUUUACUAUAUAAGAUUUGGGAAAAAAAAAUAUAAGAAAAAUUGUUCAAUUAUUAUUGUUAUCACCACUUAAAAUUUACAAUUUAGAAUAGUGGACGAAAUAAAAUUUAUUAUAUUGAAAUUUGAGAAUUAAAUUUACCUAUCUCGACUUAAUUUUCUGGCUUCACCUCUGCCAUAUAUUUAAUUAGCUAUUACUUCUGGACCCUAAUGUCUAGUCACACAUAAUUCAUGGGAUAGUCCCACCCAAUUCACAUGAAUGACAUCAAAGCGGAAGUCUUUACUUUUUUUUUUUUUUUCUUUUUUUUGAAAAACGUUCAUCUCUGGCUUACUGAUUUUAGAUACUAAAACAUUUAUCUUAAAGCUAUAAUAAAGAUUUAGUAAUUUAGGAAAAAAUUUAAAAUAAAGAGACAAGAAAGCUAGUACAGAAAAGGAAAUUACGUGCCAAAAGGUAAAGAAAUGGUGAGUUGGUUUGAUGAGAACCAUGAAUUAACAAUAUUUUUAAAUAUUUUUUGCCAAUUUUGCGGCUAAUAAUGGCCACAUGAUUUCUGCAGCCGCACAUCACAUGGGAUCUUAAUUCUUAAAUCAGAUUCAGGAGUAUAUAAAUGUUUUGCCGGUUCUUUACUUUUCACCUUUGUGUUGUAAAUACUUCCUAUCUAUUGAUAGCUAUAUGUAACUAUCCAAAUUUUAGUUUUUUUUUAUUAAUUUUUAACCACAAAAUAUAAAUUUUUUAAUAAUUGUUUUUAUUUUAUUUUUUUUAUAGUGAAUAGUUAGAAAUAUUUUUGUUUUUUUAAAAAACAUUUUAUUAAUGUGUUCAACCAUAGAUGGAACAGGUAAGUCAUUCUCAACGGAAAAUAUGAUAUUAAUUACUUGUCUUAAAAAUGUAGGGCUAUGGGAUGACAGAGGCAGGGCCAGUUCUAUCAAUGGGCUUGGGGUUUGCAAAGCAGCCAAUCCCAGCUAAGUCAGGCUCAUGUGGAACUGUGGUUAGAAAUGCAGAGCUCAAAGUUAUUGACCCUGAAACUGGUUCAUCUCUUGGCUACAACCAGCGUGGUGAAAUUUGCAUACGUGGACAACAAAUUAUGAAAGGUUCAUACAGAUAUAUACGUAUAUUUUGUUAUUUUUAAAAUUUUUUUAUUAAUUUAAGCUUUAAUAUACUUUUAACUCUAGUUCUUAAUCAUAAUUAUUAUUUGUUAAUUGAUAAAUUAAAAUAAUUUAUUAGGAUAUUUGGAUGAUCCUGAGGCCACAGCCAACACAAUUGAUGUUGAAGGUUGGCUUCAUACUGGUGACAUUGGUUAUGUGGAUGAUGAUGAUGAGAUUUUCAUUGUUGAUCGAGUCAAAGAAAUCAUCAAAUUCAAAGGCUUUCAGGCAUCUUCCCUACUAAUUUCUAUCUUUAUUUAUUUAUUUUUCUUGUCAAGAAAGAAAAAUUUUUACCUAAAAAUUAAUUUUUUUUUAAUAUUUUGUUCUGAACUUUUGUGUUCAGGUUCCACCAGCAGAGCUCGAGGCCCUCCUUGUCAUCCAUCCAUCAAUCUCAGAUGCAGCUGUCGUUCCGUGAGUUUCAGCUUUAGUAGCAAAGAUUGCUUCUUUUUUUCUUUUUUUUUUUUGAAAAGGAGCAAAGCUUGCUAAUACCAUAAUUAAAACAUAAUUAUAUUCAAACUAAGGCCUUUAUUAUUAUUAUUAUUAUUAUUGUGUAUUAUCGUGGAUGUGUUUGUUAAUUAUUAGGCAAAAAGAUGAAGGUGCUGGUGAAGUUCCUGUUGCAUUUGUGGUUCGAUCUAAUUCUAAUGGGCUCGAGCUCACUGAAGAAGCUGUAAAAGAAUACAUAUCAAAGCAGGUAACUGGAAAACAGAAUAUAAAUUCAUGUUUAGAAGAGAUUUUUGCAUUUGCUUUCCAUUAUGAUUGGAUUACUUUUGAUAAACUCUAUUUGCAAUAUUUAAAGUUUAGCAAAUAUAUAGAAGUAGAUCUGUAAAGUAAUUGUAUUUGUGCUUCAAACAGGUUGUGUUCUACAAGAGACUGCACAAAGUGUACUUUGUGCAUGCAAUUCCCAAGUCUCCCUCUGGAAAAAUAUUGAGAAAGGGCCUAAAAGCAAAGCUAGCCGCAGCCUCUCCAUUGUCUUAGAAUCCUUUCUGUUAUUUCAACUUCUCUUAGGCAUUAUAUUUAAUGUCUCCAUGGAAUAUGGAAGAGAAAUCAUCUUCUUCUAAAUUAUGUUUUUUUUUUUUUUUUUUUUUUCUUGCAUGAAUCUAAUGAAUUUUUCUUUCAUGUGAAUCAAAAGCUCAAACUUUCUUUUUAAUUAUAUAUAUAUAUAUAUAGAUGCAAUUGGGUUAAAGAAAAAUGCAAGGAAAUCUGAUAAAAGUGUAGACUUCCAUAUAUAUAUCCAAGCCCUAUUUUAGUUUAGGAGAGAUUUUAAGAAGCUAUAGAAAUUCACUUGUGAUUUGGAUUAAUAGCAAUAAACCAUAUAGAAUUUCAUUGGAAUUUAUGAAUUAUUUUGCUCAAAACUCUAAUUUAGUUCUUAAUUUUAAAAUUAUGAAUUAGUUGUCAUACUCUAGUUCUUGAGAUCUGAAAUUUAGAAUACGCAUUAAUUUUUAAUAUUUUAAAAUUUAUUGCACCUUUCAAUGAUUAAAAUUCAAGAUAUUUUAAUCCCUCAAGAUUUUGUAUUUUUUUUUAAGACUAUAAUUGUUAAGAUUUUUUUUUUUUUUUUUUGGUAAUUAAUCCUACUACGAUCAAUUUCAUGGUCUCACUUUGUAAAUGAAUUUUAUAAAUUCAUUAAUACGAAUAAUUAAAUCCAUAAUUAACAGGGUGAUGUCAUAGUAGCAAUUUGAGGCUGUCAAAUGAUUUAUAGUUGUUACUUUAAUAUCUCAAAUUAAUUUUUAUUAUCCUUCUGGAGAGAAUUCCAAGAUUAGUUAAAUAAUCCCUUUGCAUAACACUUCCCAUUUGUAAAUCAUGCGCAAAAGCAGGAGGAUGCAAUUGUCAUCUGCUCCAGUAAGGUAGUAGUAUGCUAGAGGAUUCCCUUGCUAUGCUAGAGUAUUCUUCUUUACACCCGGUUGUGGAUUGUAAACGAGCUAAGUCUGUUGGCAAAUGAAAAGUUUCAAAAAAAUUGACUUUAAUCAAGUUCGAGCUUAAUGAUAGCUCAAAAACUAUCGAUACUUAUUGAGCUCUAUCAGCCUUUAUAUAUAUAUAUAUAUAUAUACAGAUUACAACGAAUAUUAAUUAAUGGAGUCGAACAAAAUUAUAUUGAACGAAAAGUGACUUUCUUUUAUAUAUAUAUAUAUAUAUAUAUAUAUAUAUUUAUUUAAACUUAUUUGAGCAUCCAGCAUUAAGUCCUUGAGCCAAGCUUGAAUUUAAAAUUUUUCGAAUUGAACUAGAGCCUCAAGUAGAGCUUGAGCCUAAAAUUUUCAGACUCGUCGAGUUUUGAGCUGAGCUUCAAGCUUGGCUGGUUCAAACUCUACUCGGCUCAUUUACAUCCUAUUUACAACCCACACUAGCACUUCAGGAUAAUCCUAAGGAAAUUUCCCAAGGAUAGAGAAAGACCUUCAUAGGAAAACCUCUAUUGAAUGCCGUUUCUAGAGAGCCUUCACCAUGACGACUGAGUCGAGAUUCAUGACAAGGUGAAUAGGAACACCCUAACCAUCAAACAAUCAAAAUUACCACUGACUACAUCUUUCUUCAGUAAAACAAGGAAACAACAUAGCUUAAGGCAAAGACCAGAAGGUAAGAACAUUGAAUACUAAUAAAGCAGGAUAUUGAUCAUGUCAAACACUUUAUUCUGUUGAUACUGAACACAUUAUAAUAUCUUCAGUACAAGGAUUUAUCAAUUGAAAGCGCAAAACGAUUGAAACAAGAAAAUGUAAAUGCGCAUCGACUGCCUGAUAACAAGCAUCAUGUGCGAAUGAUUAACAGUACAAGUAAGAUACCGAAAUUCCUAGUGAUGAUGAUCUUGGACGUAGCGUAGACCACAAUACUUACAAACGGCUGGCUCCUUUAAGUCAAGGCAUAUGAACUCAAUUGGAUGCCCAAGUGCAGGGUUAGUGUCUGCAACAAGAAACAAUAAACAACAAUGACAAUGUUAAUCCUGAUUAUCCUUUUUAUGUCUUUUGGAGAAAAUACCUUGAACAAAUGAACAACUAACCUCCCUCGCAUGCAACAAUCCUGCCUUCAACCUUGAUGGGGGGAAUUUCAUUGAUCAACUCCAUUGGAGAUUUCUUGGUAGUAUCCUAAGUAAAAAAGUAAUUUUGGUUAUUUGAGUCACUUCUUUAGAUCAGACAUCCCCAACCAACAAUUUAAAUGAAAUUGACCCAAACAUCAAUUUGCAAGUAAAUCUAGUUAACGGGCAGAAUGACAAUAGUAUAACAACAGCAGAUGCGGUAACUGCCGCACAAAGUCACUGGUGUAGCAAUCAAAGGCCAUAACGCCAUAAGCAUAAACCACAAAAUCAUAAAACAAGAGUAAACUCACUUACUAACCAGUAACUUACUUUAAAAAUAAAGGGAAAAAGAAAGAAAUGAGAUGGAAGUCUGAAUGAUAUGGAGGAUUUUCUGUAAAUAAUUAAAAUGUCAAUAAAAGAACCUGAAAAGGUGCAAGAAUACAGGAAGAAAUUAAUUUAGAAGAACUCAAUCACAAUCUAAAAUGAAAGCUUCCUUCUGGAAUAGUCAAGGGCAUCUAUUUCUUGGUAUAAAUUUCACUAGGAAUAAAUAGAAGCCCAUUACAGCAUCGCUUCUUGAAAGCAUUCUUUUCAUCUUAAAUUCUUGUAACCUAUGCUCACCUAAUCUCAAGCUACUUGAACAUCAUUAGGGAUGUAAACAAGUCAAAUUACCCGUGAGCCAUUUAGGCUAAAGCUAGCAAAAUGUUCAAAUUUGACUCAACUUGAGCAUCUCAGAAGCCCAAUCAUUAUUAAUUGCUUUUACAUAUAAUAUUUAAAUAAUAAUUCAUUACAAAGAUUACAGUAAUCUGAGCUCACUCAAAUUCAAGCUUAAAUUUGAACCUAGCCAAAAGCUUGAUUUGUUUUAAUGUUUGUCUAGUCAACUCGUAUGAAGUUCAAGUCUAAAGCUAUUCCAUAGAGUUUCUGAGUAUAUAAAAUAAACUUUCAUCAUGAACGCGUCAAGUACUAAUCCUUGAGUUGUAAAACCCAGUCAAAUUGGAAUUGUAUGCUAUAUACCUUUACAACAUCUCCAGAAAUUAUUAAUAGACCAACCAGGUAACAACCCAUUAACUUCAUCAAUAUGGAAAAACUAUAUCAACGAUGAGAUAUUUGUCAUGCUUUAUUGUCUUAGAAAACAUUAAACUGCCCUAAAAAGGAAAAUAUAAUCACAUGCAAGGAAAUAUGUUCUUCAAGGAGAGAGAGUACAAUGGCACAUAUAAUGAAACAGGAAUCAAGCAGGCAGAAAUCAGAAUAGAUUACAAUCAGGCCACAUACUGCAGCAACAAUUAAAAGAUUGGAAUAGCAAAUUGAAGCAAUGAAUAAAACUGCCCCACAAAAUGCACAAAAAAAAAAAAAAAAGCAAGUCAUUGACAGGAAUAUUAUCUGCUAACGUAAAAAUUUCAAAAAUAAGAAUGUAUGUCAUCAAUUUGAGAUCAUGGCUCCAUGACAUAAGCUGAAUGCUAAGCUAUGACACACAGGGUACUCACUCAGCUGAAAUAGGCUUAAUAAUUGAAUACACAACACUAGCAUUGACUUAUCUCUAACACCCAUAGGAACAGUUAUAUUAGAACUUAUUCUCCACUAACUAAAGGGAGAGCAGCUUUAUAAGGGCGCUAAGCAUUUUCAUCAAGAAGAAAGGACAAUUAUAUUUGAAAUUCACAAACAAAGACAAGUGUAAAAAUGUCUGAGAAUAUGGCCUUUUGCAAGUCGCUAAGCGAACACCCUGAAUAAGUGAUUUUCUUGCUUGAUAAUAUCUUGUGUAUGUAUAUUUUUUUUUUCCUCUAGGAAAAAUGGCAAUAUGUGAACCUAAAGGCUAAACUCCAAACCAACCAUACAGGCUACAAGUGUCAAGCUAAAAGCCACAAACAACAGAAAUUUCACAGCCAUUAAAUUGGAAAAGAAGAAAAUAUUGUUUCACUCCAGCAUAAAGCAGUUUAUUAAAAUUCAACUGCUAAGAGUUUAAACCUCUGUCCAAGAAAUGAGAAAUAAAUAAAAUUCUCCCACCCAUGGCUGUCAAAAAAAUCUACAAGACACAUUUUUUCCCAACAAGCUAAAAUGCUUUGCCGUGACAUUAAAAAUUUCAUAUAGAAUUUCCAUAUAUGUAAUCAGUUUGACCUAUAUGCAAGUUAAAGACAAAAUAUUUCGUUGUUGAAUGGAUGGGAUUUCUAUAUAUAAAAAAAAAAAAAAAAAAAAAAAAAAAAAAAAAAAAAAAAAAAAAUUUUUUCAGUCAGCAAGACCCCUAACCGAUUCGUUUUACUUGAGCUUUACACGAAAAAUUUUCUUUACUGCGCCACAAUAGCCUUAGCAACGAAAUGAAAUGAUUACCAACUAAAAAACUUUCAUGAUCGAUUCAAAUAUCUGAGGACAACUCAAAUUAGAUCAACUACACCACAAUCUCCCAGCUCUCGCCCGUGAAACCAAAAUUUCAACAGUUUUAAAAUACCUAACAACAUUACUCGAUUCUACCAUUUCCAAAUUUCCAAGUGGCAAAGUUCUUUUCUUAUCAAAAAGAAUCAAUUAAGCAGGCAGAAAAAAGGUACCUGCAUCCAUUUGGCUGUGUGGUUGCUGAUUUGACUGGUAACAAGGCUGAAAUUUCUGGUGCUCUGUCUCAAAUUGGACGAUCUCGUUAGGGUUCUCAACAAACUCGACGCCAUUGUUGAUACCUGCAAUUUUAGAGAGGUUUUUAAUUUAGAACAGAAAUGGUCACCUUAUAGAUUUGCAUGGACCAAGCGGAUUGAGGCCCAUUAAUGCAAAGGCCCAUUAAAAGAAUAGGAUUCUUUACAAUCCCAUAGAAAAUGAUUUAUUUUUCUUAAUUAUAAAUUUAGUGUUUAAAUUUUAGAAAAAUUUAUAUUUCAAUAUUUCAAUGGAAAAUAUUUACAAUCAAGUGUCAGAAUCGAUAAAUUUUUUUCAAUUAAAUGUUUCAAUUAAAUGUCUCCAUCUAUGUGGCUUGCUAAAAAUAUAAAUAGAACGUAUGAGACCAUUAAUUAUUAAAAAUAACACUGUGUAGGAUUUCAAAUAGCUUGACACGUCAAAUCUGACGUUUCAAGCAGUGUAUCAAACCAGUAUUGCUUAAUUAAAACGAAUCGAAUUAAAAAUCAUCUACAAUCCUCUACGUGCUUCUUCCUUCAAGCGAUCUCUGAUCGCUCUUCAUUCUACAUGAACCCCAGCCCGCUCCCGAUUGCUAGCGCCACCAUCACCAGCUAAGCAAUAAGGGACUACCACCUCCGGUCAUUUUUUGUGACCCAAAAAUGAAAAUAAAGUACACCACAAGGAUUCUCCUCAAAUAGAGACAUAGUCAUAUACGAAAAUCAUGAUCUAACAACUGAUUUGUGUACCAAUUAAUCCAAUUAAAAAAAAUUCUUCUAGAAUUCUUUGAGAAUUUUUAUUGAAUACAAAGUGAACCAGCAACAAAUAACUUUAUUAAAAGUCACUAACUUGAAGAAACCCCCUAUACAAAUGUAACAAAUAGAAUAACCACCGUAGUAAACACCAAAUGAACUAAGUCAACAAAUGAAUCAUAUUAAAAUUGGAAAAAAAAUAAUAAGAAGAACAGAGUACAAGUAGUUCUCUUUAAUGUGAUUAUAAGACUGCAGUGAUAUUACCGAUCCGAAGAUAAUAUAAAUUGAAAGAAGAAGAGAUUACUAAGAGAGAAAAGAGCGAGUGGAUCUAAGAAAUGAGUGAUUUUAUUUUUGUCGUUUGGCCCUCUUUUCGACAUCGAAGGGGAGUGGAAUGGCGUGGGACAUUCUGCCGGAGUUUAUAAAACCUCUCCAGUCAUCAUCGUCAUUACCAGAAGCCGAAUCUUGACCAUUAACAAAAGUGAUAUUGGAAUGAAUGGUCGAAUUCGAUGGCGCGACCCAAAACUGUUUGCAAAGAUUGGUAUAAGAGGAAGGGUAAGGCCGUUUUUGACUCACCUAGUGCACUAAAACUCGCCGGCGGAGGCAUUGGUGGCAGGAGUUAAGAACUGCCCUCCUCUAGCUUGUCCUUUCACGCAAUAGAGGGUCAAAGGAAGAAUCACUUUGGGUCACGAAAAGUGACCGGAGGUGGUGGUCCUUAUUGCUUGGCCCGUGAUGGUGGCACUAGUAAUCGGGAGCGGGCUGAGGUUCAUGGAGAAUAAAGAGCAAUCAGAGAUCGCUUGAAGGAAGAAGAACGUAGAGGAUUUUAGAUGAUUUUUAAUUCGAUUAGUAUUAAUUAAGCAAUACUGGUUUGAUACCCUGCUUGACACAUCAAGCUAUUUGGCGUCCUACGGAAUGUUAUUUUUAAUAAUGGCGUCCUACAUAAUGUUAUUUUUAAUAAUUAGUGAAUUCCUCGUGUCCUAUUCAUAUUUCCGACAGAAAAAACAUUAUCUAUUCCAACAUUUAAUUACAACAUUAUCUAUUCCAAUACUUGAUUACAAACAUUUUUUAUGGAGACACUGAAAUAGAAAAUUUUAGAAAGCUAAACACUAAAUUUAUAAUUAACCCUCUUUUUUUUAGAAGGAAAAUGAUUUUAUUAUUUCAAAAUAAUAAAAGAUCUCUUCUAUUGCAAACAGUACGAAUAUAAAUAAUGAUUUUUUAAUCUUUUUUUUGUGAAGAAAAAAAUUAAAUUCAUCAAAAAAUAAAAAUAUUUUGAAGAAAUAUUAAAUUCAAUCAGCCCAAAUUCAAAUUUUCUGUUUGAUUGAAUAAAUUUUAAAUAAUUAAGGAAUCAUUUUACAUGUUAACAAGCCGCAUGAAAUUAUUGACUUGUCGUUCGACGAUAGCUGAUAUGCUGCAAUGGAUAGUUAUCUGAGUUCACGUAUUCCCCCAAUGAGAAGCCCUUCUUGAUAUUCCAUUUAUGGAUUUUUUAGAAUGUUCGAAGUUUACACGAACUGUCGUUCGACUACCGUGAUAUGCCUCACUUAUCGUCUACUGUUUAAGUUGCAUUUUCCCACGAGUUAAACGACACCUCUUUACCGAUAUUUUCUCCAUGUAAGGGCACUUUUAGAAGUGCUGACUUGCUAAAAGUGACUUGCAGUUUCAAGGAUAUCUCAACAUCUCAUAUCCUAGAUCGCUGUGCCGUAUUGCUGUUUACUCCACACUGUUCAAUUUUCGCAUGGACGUAAACUAGUUUACUCGGCCAUCACCGAAAAGCAUUUCAUACCCAUCUUUGCAGCAGGAUUCAUCUUCAAACACUGGAGAAGCUCUUUACUGCGUGUUGCCUCUUGCAUGCGAUCACCUAGCAUUUCUUCAUAUGUUAGAUACUCAUAUUUUAGAUCCAAUUUCGAGGUUAUCUAGGAAUGGGAUCUUCAAAUUGUUCAUGGAUCGCAAAAGAACUUCAGCCAUGGGUUUCUUUCCAGCAGAUUUGUACAAAUGUAUGGCAGCACUCAUAAUAAAUCGGUCAGGCUCCGCAUGCUCCCUUAUCCGCUCAAAAAAGUUUAUGCCUUUCUCAACAUGUCCAUAGUCCAUGUAACCUCUCAGCAUAGUUCGGUGACAUCCAAGAUCAGGACUUAAACCAGUUGUCAAUAGUUUCUGGUAAACCCUUUCUGCUUCUGCCAGAAGACCAGCUUUUGCGUAAGCAGAAAGUAAGUGGUUAAAAUGACUACAUGAAGGCGAAAUGCCUUUCUUCUUCAUAACAUUGAUGGUUUCCUCUGCUUCCAAGUAUUUCAAACUCUCUGUAUAAGCUUGUACAAGGGAGAGGUAUGUGAAGGAGUCCGGAGGCCAGCCAUCUUUCUGCAUGGCUAGGAAAAGUUCCUCUACUUCACGAUAAAGUCCUGCUACGGCGUACACAUUGAUCAUAAUAUUGUAGCUAACCUGCAUUUUCCAUGUGAAGAUCGGGUGGUAAGAGCUUUUGUUAUUUGAAAAAAAAAAAAUUCUCAUGGUGAAAGAUGAAAAGCUAGAAUGAUUGAUUAUUCUCGCAUUUUGGGGUAGAAAUUCACCCCUCAAAAUGAGUUGUUGAGAUGACUGAACUAGUCACUAAAAUCAACAGUAUAAGUCAAAAGAUGUAAUUCUUGUAAAACUACUCAGUCCAAUGACAAAGUAUAAAGUUUUGUAUCUGAGAGAGAGAGAGAGAGAGAGAGAUGGAGAUAAAAAUUUCAUUUCGUGUGCGACCAUAUACUAUGCAACCUAUAAAGUAUAAAGUUUUGUAGUACAUUUAUGAACAUACCUUUCCUGGUUUUAUCCCUUCUUCCUGCAUUUUGGUGAACAGAACAGAUGCUUCAUGCCUCUUACCUUCAAAGUAGACAAAAAUUGCCAGGUUAUGUUAAUACCUUGAGCAAUGAAGAAAGGAAUGCCUUACAAACCUCAGUACUAAAGUAAAACAAAAUAUACCAAUUUUAAAAGGAAGCGAAUCUGCCACCUCAUAAAAACAUUUAAUGCUAUAUUGGGAACAUAUAUAGUAUAUGCCAAGUUUAUGAUUUAUCUUUCACACUAAAAGCGUACACAAAUCUCCUAUAGGAAGUGAAAUUCGUUGAUGCUUUUUUGUGCUAAACAUGAACUAAGCCAAAAUAGCAAGAAAUUGUGUACUUUAAGUGCAAUGAUAUUUGUUUUAAAAAUUCAAAGCAAUGAUGAAAAGAAAAGAUAUCAUUAUUUGAGGUAUGCAAAAAAAAAAAAAAAAAAGAUAUUAUAGGACCUUAAGAAAUUCUAAUACAUAUUCAAAAGAUCUCGCAAUGGAGGAAGAGGUGAGUUAGUACCAGCCUUGCCAUAAUAGCUAAUUAUAUUCAUGUAUGUCUUCUCAUCCAGGGACAGACCCAAGCUGCAAGCAGUGUUAAACAUCUCGACAGCCUUAUCCAGCUUCUGACCUCGUCCAUAGACACUGCAUUAAUAAUUAAUUUUAUAAAAGCUGAAGCCCCAAAUAACAAAAAUAAGAUAUACAAAUGUGAUUAGUUGUUUCUUUUCAUAAAGUUGCUGUCACCUAAUCAUAGUGUUGUAUGUCUGAAUUGAUGGACUGACUCCAAAGGAAAGCAGGCGUUCAUAGAUGCUGGCUGCAAAAUGCAAUCUACCUGCAACAUCACUUCUACAGAUCAAUGCAUACUUUAUUCUGUACUUAUCUUCAAAAUUAAUGAGAUCAUCUGUAUCAACCUGCUUUUAGCAUUGCCUUAAUAAAAAUGUUGUAUGCCACAGUAUCAAGCUCCAUAUUAUCCUGAAUACUCUUACGGAUAAUCCUCUCUGCUUCUUGAUGUUUGCCUGGAAAUGGAAUAAUCUUGUCACCAAUCAAAAUUGCCCUAAAGUUAGUAGCAUUGCCAACUACACACAAGCAUGCCCAUCAUGACUGCCUUUUUAUAAAAUCACCAACUAGGCUGAGAUGGAAAAUUUUAACUUCGGAAACUAAAUUGUUGUCAGCAACAGAAGUGUCAUGAGGACAAAUCAUUUGAAAGCUUGAAAGAGUAACUAUAUUGGAUCUGAAAAUAUAGAAGCUAACAAAAAAUGUCGUUGGAUCUGAAUAACUACCAAAGAAUAUACGACAAUAAAUCUACUAGUUUAACUAGAGUUAGUCCUACCAGAAUUAGUCAAUGAAUUCACAAGUAUGCCAACGCCAACAGCACCUAAGUCGUGCCCUUUAUCAGUUACUUCUUUAUAAAGCAAGUAUGCAUCCUCAGAUUUACCACAUUUAGCAUAUGCGUCAAUCAUUGAAUUAAAUAUUGAUUUUCCACAAGUUGGGGAAUCUGCAGCUGCUGCAAAGACCUCUUGAGCCUGCUUUAGCUUUUGCCUUUUACCACAUAAAUUAAUCAAUGAAGAAAUUACUUCAUCCUCUAAUCUCCAGCCCAGCUUGGUUACUUGAGCAUUAACAGCCCCUGCCUUACAUGUAUCACCUAAGCAGAAGACGAUAUGUUAGUCCUAAAAGACAUCAAAGAGUUAUAAAAACAAAUAAAACUCUUAUGCAGAGAUGCAGAAAUAAAUAACACUGUCAAUCAUAAAAUGUGAAAAUGAACAUUUCAUACCUUCCCUGAUGAAGUUGUUAACUACUUGACUCACUAUAGACAAACCACCGCCAGUCCCAAGUAACAACUUCAGGAUUUCUUGUAUCUUAUUGAAGUCGCCGUGUCUAAAAUACAAAGUAAUGAUAAGCCCAAGAGCCGUAGUGUUGGCUUGAUCAAAGACCGAGAAGUAUUCACAAUCCUUGUUUUCUCCAUGCAUUAUCUUACAGAAUGUCUGGAAAAAUCUACUCUCUCUGAAUGAUACAUUUGUGCCCAUCUCUUUUGUCAGCAGUUCAGCUUCUCUUAGCAUGCCCUCCUCGCAAAGUACUUUAAUAACUGUCCUAUAAAGCUCCUCAUCAAAAUCUACUUGAUCUUUUCUUAUUUGGAUGAUAAAGUCCUUAGCUUUUUCAGUCAUCUGCAAGCUCAGAUACAAAUUGAGCAUGUCAUUGCAAGAGCCAGCAUCAGGAAGUCCAGUCUUUGAUAAAGCAUGAAAAGUACUUUCAGCAGAGUCCAGAUCUUCUUUCAUAACAUAGCAUUGCAACAGAACAAUAUAAGCAAAUCUUGAUAACCAAAUAUUUCUAGACUUCAUCACUUCAAUCACACUCAAAGCUUUCUCAAAAUUUCCUGAAUUAAGAUGCACUUGUGCCAUGGCUAAAUAUGUUUUCUCAUCACUUAACAAACCCAGUUGCUCAGUCUCUUCAAACGUUCUUUGGGCAUCCUCAUACAGGCCAAGUUUCCCAUAUAUUCUAAUGAGCAACCCAUAGAUGACUUCAUCAGCCGCAAUUUUCUUGCUCUGCAUUUCUGUAAAGAGAGAAAGGGCUUUAGAAUAAUCCGCUUUUUUAUAAUACAUGGUCAGCAGUGAUGCACAUGUGAAAUUACUAGGAACUAUUCCAUGAGAUUGCAUUUCCUCAUAUAAUCUCCCUGCUUCAUCCCAGUUAAAAUUUCUAAUACUAAUAGUAAUAAGCAAGCUAUAUGUCACUUCCUCAGGAACAUGCCCACCGUUCUUCAUUUCAUUAAACAACUUAAAAGCCUCAUCAUGAAAACCUUUCUUGACAAGUGAACUGAUAAUCACAGUAUAAGUAAAACUAUUUGGUGUCACCCUUUUAUCCACCAUUUUCCUCCAUAAUUCUAUGACCCUGCCAUGAAGAGAUUUCUUCUGCAGAGAGGACAGCAUAAAGUUGUAAACUGAAACUGAGAGUAUAAUUCCCCUUUCUUGUAUAGCAGAAUAAAAUGAAGACAUAGCUUUAUGUCGACCCCAUCUUGCAUAUGAACACAACAUAGUACCACAAGCAACUUCAUCAGGUUCACAUCCCACUUCAAGCAUCUCCAAGAAUGUCUGUUCAGCCAACUUGAUUUUACCAACUUGCCCAUACAUUCGUAAAACAAUUGUGUAGACUAUGACACUUGGCCGAUAGCAUAACUGUUAGAGCACAGUUCUGUCAUGUUCACAAAACUAAUUUCUAAGAAAAAGAGAAUCAAGUUUUAGUCAAGCAAAAAAUAAAUAAAAAAAAUCAAUUGCUUUGCAGCACACUAAGGGUUAAAAGAAGUCUAAAAUAAACACUCAUUAGAAGCUAACAACCAAAUUCCAUAUGAAGUUCACCAAUAUAAAUUUAUACACUUAUCUGAAGACAAGUAAAUUAAUUCAUUUUAACAAAAUAUAAAGUCGGUACUAAAAAGGGCGUGUAGCUAUCCACUGUAAACCCACCAGAAACCAAAUACAAACAUCUCAAAGUAUGAAUUUUCCAGCCAAGUCCCUGAAUUAUAACUACCACAUACAAAACAAUAAAGCUAUUAAGAUUGAGCAAUAUGCAUAUAUAUAAGUAUCCACAGGAGGGGGAAAAAAAGAUAUAAUACACAAUAAUUAAAGGAAUUCAAAAUUAGAGAAUAUACUUGCAAUUUCAUCCAGGCAAAGAAGUCUCUAGCCUCCCUCCAUCCUUUCUGCUCCUUCAGAACAACACACAUCUCUUGAAAAGUUAACUUCCCUACAAACCCACUCAUUAGUAACCUCACAUUUCUCUCCUCUUCUCUCUUCCUAGCCAUCCCCCUCACUGUCUUUAUGGCUGCAACCACAUGCUUUCCAUAAAGAUGCCCAUUCUUAUUAUCCUCCAAGUACUUCACCAUCUGUUCGGGCGUUCUCUUUAUCCAUUUGGGCGUCUGGGCGUGUGGACCCUGGUGUUUCCGCAGCAAGCUUAAGUAUUGCGCUUUAGCUUUGAUUAUGCGCCUUGCGUUGUCGUCUGAUAAGGGUUUCUUUGGGUUUUUUGAUCUGGGUUUGGGUUUAGAAAUGUUACCGUCGCUUAAAGACCAGGGGUCUGAAUGAAUUGAAGACUUGAUGGAGGUUUUGUAGUUUGCUUUAACUGGUCUGUGAGAUUUUGGUUUUGGUUUGAGAGGUGGAGGAAGGAAGGAGGACUUGAGGAUGAUGGAGUCCAUUUCUUUUCUUUCUCGCCGUUUCGUGGGAAAUUUGGGAGUUUCGCGCAAGUUUUUGAAUUGAAAGAAGGAGCUGGAUGUAGCGAUUUUGCAGUGACAGGAUUUGCAGAAUACAAGAUAAACUUUUGUUUUCAGUUUUAAUUAUUUGGAUAUUUUUUGUUCAUAGGAAGUGGACAUGGGCUUGACACUCAAGUCUACCCUUGACCUUUCGUCCUGUUUUUAUUUAUUAUAAGUAGUUUUUGCCGAUUAGUUUUUAUCACAAUAUAAUUCAUUUUCAGGAUUUUAAAAAAUAAUAAAUAAUAUUUUUUAAUAUUAUUUUUAUAUAAUAACUCCUCAAUUAUUGUUAUUGAGAUAAAAGACAAUUUGAUCAAAUUAUGAUUAAAUUAUCCUUGAAUUUGUUAUAAUUUAAAAGUAUUAAUUGCUUCUUUAAUUAUUGUACAAGUAUUUUGAAAUAAAUAUCUCAAAACAUAGGGAGUAAGUUAUAUUCAUUCUACCCCAUAUAUAUAGAUUCACUUUUCUUUUUCAUUUAUCCAAAAAUGUAAACCUAUUUCCUUUUUCUUUUUUUAAAAUAUCAUUUAUUAUCUAAUUUCUUAACAUAUCCCUAGUCAAUGUACAUUUUACAUUUACAAUUGAUAUGCAUCAUUUAUAUUAUAAAGAAAUAUCUUGAGAAAAAAAAAAACCAAACAAAAGAUAUAAUUCAAUUAUAUUAAUUAGUUUUUCUUAAUCUAUGUGAAAAGCUAAUUAGUUUUUAUUAGUCUAUAUGAAAAUCAAAAGAGGGCUAUAUAUAUAGAAUAGAGGAAAUUUGAAGUUCUGAUUAAAUGCUUUUAUCAUUGUAAUUGUCGAUGGUCAUUCAUUAUUUUUAUCAUGAUGAAUAAAAAAAAUUAAUAUCAUAAAUUUUUAUCAUCAUACGUUAAGUUAUAUAAUAAGGUAGAAAUAAAUUAAAAUUUAGUUGAAAGAGAGUUAGGAUGGAAGUGAUUUAACUUUUCAAAAUCAUCAAUCAUAACUAUUACUUGUACAAAAUUUAUCACUACCUAACUUUAACGGAGGGCUCGUCAGAAAGUUAUGGGCUGAAAGCAAGGGAACAAAACAAUACAGACUAUUGCAUUCUUCAAUUUAUAGUCAUGCUCAUACUCUGUGCUUCUUUGGGAUAGAAGAAAAAGCUGCACUAUUAUGCACCCAAAAAAAAAAAAAAAAAAAAAAAAAAAAAAAAAAAAUUGGAAUCAACUUGCCUAUCCAUCUGCUAACAUCCUUCAUUCAUAGGCCUCGAAAUGCUAAUAAAAGAGAAGUACAAAGAAACUGUGCAUGCAGUAUAUGAAUAUUUGUUAAAGAAAUACAUAGAAACUGUGUACAUGAAUAUUUCUUGUACAGAGCAUAAGGGCAAGCAGCUAACUAAGAUAACAAAUAUAACCAUCUUUUGCUACCUCUUAACACAGAUGCAUCACACAUUGGGCUUACUACCUCCUAAACAUACCCGAAUUUUGAAGUGUUCGGCUAUACUCAGCAAUGAUGGCAGAGCUUUUAACUAGUUCCCAUAUCUUCGCAGAAUUUUUCAGCCAGUCCCGUUCUGAGACCGUCUUUGCAAAGGAAGGGCAGUCCAUAGAUAAAACCUGAAGGGAAAAAGAGUAUAAAACUGAGAAUUUCAAUCUUCUGUCAUAUGCCAUGACCAGAAGCAUGAUAAUCAAAUAGCUAAAACAUUAUAUACACUUUAUUGUAAUAAAAGAGAGAGAUAGAGACAGACCUCAUCUCGCAGUUUCCAUAGUGCAGAGAUGAAACUCUCGUGUUGAGGUCUUGGCAAGUCAUCUCUGUUGUUAGAUGGGAUUAAAAAUAAAUUCAGAGGUGAAAAAUGAACAUCAUUACACCGAGUAGUAGAAGCCACGGAAGACGAGAGAUCUUCUUUUCCCUUGUUUUUGCCUUUCUCUCUCACAAAUGAAGAUGAGCUGAAGUACAGUGCGAGUGCCUUCUUCAGUUGCAUUGAGGUAAUUGGAGUAAAAUCUUGAUCAUGCAAUCUACAAUCAGAAAGAGAUUAAUAAAUGAGCUUAACUGCAUAUAGUAGGAAUGAGAAACACGGCCGCAUCUUUAAUUAGUUCUGAAGUACAAAUUUUAAGCAAUCAGCCAAUAACUUACUGCACCUACAAUUCUAUAAAACAAAUGUCACAAAAUACAGUAAGUUACCAACAAGCAGUUACAUAUGACUAACACCAGUAAUAAAAGAUUAUGCCAACAUAUUAAAUUGAUCAUUCAUUUGCCUCACAAACUUAUUUAGAAUACAAGUGCCAUUUUAUAAGUAUAAAAAUCAUCACAUGGAUCUUGUAAAUAUUAAAUCUAUUGAAAUUGUUCGCAAAUAACAGCUCCACCAUUUUGUAGUGGCUCCAGCCUUCAGAACACAUCAGCGCAAUCACAUUAACAUGCAGUAAUGACCAUGUGCGGAUGUGAUUCCACAAUGUCUACAUAUCAUUUAAUUGCAAUUAUAACAUUGCAAAACUACAAUAGCAACAGAAAACAAAUUGACUUCAUUAAUCCAGUGCAAGAGACAAUAUGAAAUUUAUACUGCAAGCCUGGAAGGAACAAAUCAUAAGCAUGUGUAUGUACAAUGUGACAAAUCAACUUUAUCAUAUAGCCAUGUGGGCCAAAUACUGAAACCAAGAAAUGGUUCUUCAUGAAACUAGCAUAUAGAGAUAAAUGCCUUGAAAAACUUGAAAACUAAUACAAUAACCACGACACACAACCCAUUUGAAGGAGGAAAAUUAAACCAUGUCUUUCGCUAAUAUUCUGUACAACUCAAUUAAAGGCUGCAAACACUAUCAAAUUGUUGCCUCCACACAAGGUAAUUAUUUAGCAUCACAGAAAAAGAUUACUUACUUCGUAUGCACAAAGACUGGAGUAGCCAUAUAUUCUUCACCUUCAAUGAUUUUAUCUUUGUUUUCUUUUUCAGGCCCGGCGUUAGAGCUCUGCAUAUGUGAAGGUGUUAACGAAGAUGGAUCAGGUAUCCCAUGUUUCAACAGGUCAACCUGCGAAUAGAAAGAAACAAUUGUAAUUUUUCCAGCCAGAAUGUCCAAGGAUGAGAGUAACAAGAAGAUCAAUAGCCAAACGAGAUGCAACAGAAACGCCUAGAAAUUAGGCAGAUUACUAGCAUAAUAACUUUCUGGUGCAAUAUGAAAUAUCACACAUUAGUGAGCAGAAGAUUAGGGUGGGAAUGAUACCGUCAACAUUAAAUGCCACAUAUCAUCAUCAUGAACUCCAUCUGAUACCACCAGCACAAUGUGACAAAUGGAUGCUAGAAGAACACCGAGCUAAAGGGAAUCCUUACAGAAGACCAUAAAUAUAUAAAUUCAUUAGACAUUCUAUGAUUGUCAAUCGAAAGAAUACCAAAAGGAGUAGGUAGAAUCAAUAUGUACAAAGAUUAUGCUCUAGUACAGAAGUAAGAUGUGCACUUUCUCUUUACUCACCUGAAUAGCCAUAAGUUCAUGAGCCAAUUCAGCAGAUAGAUUUUCACCACUUAAAACUGAAAUAGUGGACGAACCAUCAGGUCUCAUCAUCUCAGAUAGUAUAGAAGGGCUAAAAACAGGCUGCAAAUAAACAAAAAUUGUAAUAGGGGUAAAGGGAAGGAAAAAGAAAAAGAAGGGAGGGGGGGAGGNNNNNNNNNNNNNNNNNNNNNNNNNNNNNNGGGGGGGGAAUUAACAGAGAGAUAAUCAAGAAAUGUCGGGGAUAAAGGUGAGUAAUACACAUUAAAAAGGCAUGAUACCCACAAAUCUGGUGUCAAAAAAUUGGAGUGAACUAUUGUUUAUAAGCUUCGAAAGUAUGCUGCUCAAGCAUAUGUCCAGUUUUCUGUUAAAAGAAUAUAGGAAUGGAAUUUUCCAUGUUCUGUCAGGAAUUUUUUUCACAUGUUAUAGUGUGAAAGGCAACCUCAUAAAUUCAUCGUUUAGACUCAAUUGUAGAAGCACUCUCUUGGUCUUCAUGUAUUUAUUCAUUAUGUGGAAGACCUCUUUAAAGUAAUUUUAAAUGGUCAAUUAAUACUCCAAGUCAGAAUACAGUAAACCAUGUUGUUUGCAUGUCAUAAGAAAAAACAAAUCAGGUGCAUGAUUCAAAAGAGAGGUUUAUAAUCAAAACCUGGGUGUCAAGAAGUAUAAGCCUCUCAGCAGAUAUCCUUGGUUCAAUGCCUACACUGCAAUGUCUAGCCAUUGCUCUGUUAUCUUCUGUCUGUAUAGUAAAUGGCGGCAGCAUUCCUGUAUUAUAGAAUUGCAAAGUUAUCUUCGGGAAGUAGUCUUACAACAAAUAAAACAUCACAUAUGAACUCAAGCAGACAAAUAGCAUUUUGCUAUGAGAACUAAUCAGAAAAGCAUCUUAUUGCCCCUCUUUUUAAGACUGCCGUCAGAUGAAUGGUUAUAGCUUCUCACUAAAGUCACCUUAACUUGGUUUCAACUUUCUUCCACAUAACUGAAAUUGCUAGACACUCAUAUAAAAAGCAUAACAUUGCCACUUCUAUAAUCAUUCACUACCAAGAACAAAACUCUAUACUACAGUUCUUCUUCUAGUCAGGAUAAAACCCAAAAAUAUAAUUGCGAAAGAAAGGUGACUAUAAGAGAAAUGAAAAUAAAUGUUUUAGUUAAAAAUCAUACUGAAACUAAGCACCCAUAAAUUACCAAAUACAACCUAUAUAGACAAUUAACAACAAUGUGAACGUAUAAAUUCGAAAGGAAUAAGUAUCUCGCACUUAUAAUAUAAAGAAAAUACUAACCAGGUGAACUUCCAUCAAAGCCAUAAAGUUCAUUCAUGAUGGUUGAUUUGCCAACUCCAGGCGGCCCAAUCACUCCAACGACCGUGAAGUCUGUAUUCUCAGUCAGAAACUGCACAAAAUCACAAACUUUUAUCAAGCUUUAGCUUCACAAUACCCAUAUUAUUCCCCAAACAACUUUAAAAAAAAUCUCCACCAAAUUGAAGCUAAAGCGAUACAUAUAGACACAAAAGUAGCAUGAGAGUUACAGGAAGAAAACGAUCAAUGUGAAAUUCCCAGGAAUCAGAGAGGAGAUUGAGAGAGCCGAUUGCAGGUAGACGAGACCUAUGCGAUACAGUUUCAUCUUCGGCACCGGCACGGCCGAAUUUACCUACCACCGGCCCAGAAGUGACAAGACCGGGCUUUGCCAAAAGGAUUUUAGGAGCAGGAGGAGCCGGUGAGGGAUUGGAAGAACCGGUGCCGCUAGUAGAUCCUGCCAUUGAGUCGGGUUUGGACCUCGGAGCUGAUUUUCAGUUGCCCAAGCCUAGCUUCAGUUUGCACUUUGCAGUUCGUAGUUCUGACAUUAGUUGAUGAAAACCACCUCUAAAUUUUAUUUAGCUGAGCGAAUUGGGCUCGGUAAGGGUCAACAACAGCUUUGUUUGGGUUAGUUUUUUCUGGCCCAAAGCCGACAAAGCAAACUUCUUCGGUAUUAGACUUGUUUAAACCCGGUAAGCCUAUCUACAGACCAAUCAAUUAAAAUUGAGAUUUUUUAAAAAUUAUCUCUAUUUUAUUUUAUCUUUUUUUUCAUAAUUAAUCGUUAUAAUACUCUCAUUUUAAUAAAAAAAAUACUUUGGUUCAUUAAUGAGUACGUAGACGGGUCCAAGCAAGUCAAUCCUGUUUAAUAAUUUUAUAUAUAAAAGUUCAAUCAAGUUAACACUACGGUUUUUUAAAAUUGACUACUUCAUACUCAAAAUAUAGAGUGAUUCUGCAACAAAUCGAUAAGUUAAAUGUAUUUUUAUAAAUUUAGUAUGUAAAAUAAUUCAAUAAUCAUGAUUUAUCAUGAUCAUAAUGAUCAUUUUGCAUAUUCUGAGAUUAAUUUGUCUAGACUUGGAUCAUGUAUGAGCUCGUAUCCAUAGACCAACCAAUGGAAAGUAAUCUUUCACUGCAUUGAGGGUUUACUAAUGAAUUAAUCACAUUUUUGGACAAUAUUACUUAUAAUCAAUUUAUAAGGAAAAAACACACACACACACAAGAAGCUAUUAGCAUAAUUACUAAUUUAUUUAUCAUAAAGAGAGAUCUACACUCUCUAACACAUUACCGCAACAUUCUAUUCUUACUGAUAUAUAGCUUACAUGCAAACCAACCAAGCAACAAGUUCUUCUUACGAGCUACCAAUAUUAGCAAAUUCGAUAGCCCCAUCAUUAAUUUAAUUGCCCGGAGCUAUUAUUACCAUUCCCAGUAUUAGUAUGGCUGCCGCUAUUAUGAUAGGAAUAAGGGUUUGGAUAACUAGGAUUGGCAUAAUAAGGCAGCGGUGGUGGUGGAGGAGGCGGAGCAGGGGGAUAAACAUAAUAAGGAGGAGGAGGAGGAGGAGCAUAGCAGUAUUGUGGUGGUGGUGGAGGAGUUAUUAUAUAUUUCUGUGUAUAAGCAAAACAAACAGGAGGAGGAGUAGGAGGAGCAUAGCAGUGUAGUGGUUUUGGUAAUAAUGAUAUACAUUUUUUCAUGUCAGUCUCUUCAACUCUGUGUAGCUUAUCAAUCUUUGGGUCGAAAUGGUCUCGCACUUGUUCUUUAAUUCGUUCUGCCAUAGCUAGUUGCUUGUAACUAUCUUAAUCUUACUAUGCUUGCAGGAAUAGGAACAAGGAAAUUCUUAUUAUAUAGAGGUUGCCAGAGAAUCUAUGAGGAACAUUAGCUUCAGACCAAAGCUACUUCGUUAAUUAGAAAUCCCAAAAUUGUCUUUCCCAU